CUUCUCCCUCAUUCACUUGCUCCCAGUAAUUUUCAUUAAUUGUACCAUCCGCAGCUACUUUAUAUCCUACCCCCAUUCUGUACUUAUGUUUGUGAACAUUUCUUGCCAUAGCAAUAGUCUGCUCCACAAAAGGUUCCCAUGAUAAGGUACCGUCCAUAAUCACAUCUCGCCCUUUGUUUAGAGCCGCCACUAGUAGAGAUGAUGCAGCAUCAGUUGAAGAUUGAUGCACCUGCUCAGAUUUUGAAAUGUUUAGAUCAUACAUUGAUCAUAGUAACAUUGCAUGAAGGUGAUCUUGUUCAGAUAGCAGCUUACCAAUUCAGCAGUUUGAAGCAUGUCAUCAUGGUGACCCCUUGAGUUAAGGGCUUUAUAUAUAACAUCAUUCUCCUUAAAAGCAUCUGCCUCAACAACCACUGCCUUUGAAGCUGCUCCCAACCAAAAUGAUCUGCCAAAGCCAUAAUAUUUAUUUUUAGGCAUAAAAACAAAGUUCUUACAUCUGCAAAGUACAAAGUAGGCAUGUAUGGUUCUUUUAAUACUUAAAUAUGCAUGUAUAGUUUGAAUAAUCCUAUUUGCGAGACUCGUGCAUAUAGGAUGGAUCCUAUUUAUGACACAGGCUUGGAUUGUUUACUGUCUCUCCAGCCGCACCUCAGUAGUUGGAUUGAUCCAAAGUCAGACAUUAAAUCCAACAAUCAAAUUGAGGUGCGUCUAGAGAAACAACAAUUGACUAUUAAAAGUGAAAAGAUAGAUUUUGUAGAAUUAUUAAACGUGGGAGAGUAGAAUUAGGAUGGAUAAUUACUCUUUAAGAAUGUCUUUAAGAACAGUGCUCUUUCCAGCUCCCAUGCCACCACCCAUGAACAGUAGAACUGGAUUCCUCUCACUGAGGGGCAUGGGGACCAUGACUUCUUUGGUUUGAGAAACACCACCAUUUAUUACUUUCAUCUCUUCGACCAAAGUAGAGAACACUCUUGUCACCUUCAGAUUCUUGGUUACUCUCUCAAACCUUUGUUUCCUAUAAACAUAAACAUCACUUACUUAGUGUCAUUUCCCCCUAUAUUAAAAACAUGUUAGUUCCUUUGAAGUGUUUUAACUCUAUAAUGAUUUGAACUUAAAUUAUUUGAAUCAAUGAUGAAAAUAUUAAAUGAGCAAGUUACCUUGUAGCUGCCAAUAGAAUUUCUUUCAGCUUCGUUUUGUGCUGAGACUCAGUUUUCAGUAUCUAUUGGUCAACGAAAGAGAUACUCAAUAAUAUUUUUUGGCAAAAGACAUACUCAAUACUUAAUUGAAGAGAAAAAUAUGUAUCAGAACAUAACAUAACAAAUAAAAAAGAAUAAAUGGAGAAUGAACCUGACUAAUAACAAAUGGAGCUUGUUUCCAAUGAAAUGCAAAAUAACUGAGGAUGCAUUUCUCAAACUCAUUAACCAACUUGACAUAGAGAGAUUCAUAGUCCUUUUCAUUGCCAAGAUAUUCAAAGAUGCUUUGAUCACAUCCUUUGGAUUUUUGUAGAUAUUCUUGGGCAAGUUUGCAUAAUUCUGGCACCUCACUUGCAUCUUCAAAUCCUAUUUGCCUAGCUACCAACACACAAACACACAAAAAAAAUUAAAAUUCUGAAUUUGAUCAAAUAAAUAUUCAGCUGCAUUUCAUCUUUCUGAUUUUCUAGAAUAUGCAAUUUUAAUAUCUCAUUGUAGGGAGGGCCAGAAGCCUACCUACUAGAAUAUGGCAAAAAUCCUAAGAACAAAAACACUGACAAGGUCAUUCUUUAAUCUUUACUAAAGAUGGCAAUAGAUAUGCACAAAGAAUUAUUUGUUAUUACAUUCGUCACGAAAUAUAAGAUCAUGCUGAUUGAAUCACAAAGAAUUAAAAAUAGUUGCUUGUCAUAUUAAAUUCGAUGACAAUUGAUAUUGUUUACAAAUUUACUCUAAAGAAUCGAGAAUUAGUCAAUAUUUUUAUCAAAGUAUUACAUACUGCAAAAAAAAUAUGUAACUUAAUUAAGACUAUCUUGGUGAAUAGAGACCUUACAUUUUAAAUAUUUAUUUAGUCUCACCUAAUUUUUAUAGACUAAAGUUGAAUAAAACUUAUAUUAUAUAGGACACAGUCAAGCUUUGAAUAUUUGAUAGGAACUAAAAAUAUAUUUAAUAAAAAAUUCUUUAAAACAACUUUUUUUUAGGAAUUCAAAACAAUUUAUUAUUAGGUCGAGUCGCUUAUCUGACGUAAAUUUGAUUGGGAUUUGUUCGAUUUAAAGUUUUUUUUUUUUUUUUUUGAGGAAAAAAGUUAAUUAAUUUUUUUAACAAAUCUACCUAAACCUACCUAAUCCAAUUUGCAUUUAGUUAAUUUAAAUGAUGUGAAUUAUCUUUCUUUCAAUAGUUAUUUUUUAAAAAAAUAUAGUUAAAUUAAAUGUUUUCUUUCUUUCUUUCAUUCUUGUAUUUUUUUUUUUAAAUAUAACAUUUUAUGUGGGUGGAGUUUUGAAACUCAUAUGAACAAGGGUAGAUUUUAAAGCCUAAAAAACGUUAACAUAAAUAUUUAUAGAUUAUCCACUAAUAAAAUUCGGUGUUAAUGCGAGUUGAACUCACGCCCCAUAAUAUGAGAAUUUCCUUUUGAAGAUUUUAUUUUAUUUUUGCGAAACUUUUUAUGGUUCUGUUUUCUUAUUCAAUUUUUUCCUUACACUAUUUUUUUUCUUCUUCUCCUCUUUUGACUAAUACACCACUUGAGUUUUGAGACAAUCAUUUUGGUGAAGCACAUCUUAUCUUAUCUACUACUAGCAUUUAGCAUAACAACAUUGUUUGUGUUGUAAAAUAUUUGUGAUAGUCUUUGUCACAGUGAGAUUGAAAAAGAAAGGACAGUCACAGUAUACUAGCUUGCAAGAAUCCCCAAAAAAGUGAAACAUUACAUACCAACAUAGUGGGAGAACUUUUCUAUCUUUUCCAAACGACCAGAUUCUGUUCUAUCAACGUGAGGAAUGAUCUUAUCAUCUGUCACCACCGUGGACUCUUGCUUCCGGUAACGCGAGGCAGCAGCCGCGGCAAUCAAACCGGCAAAGGAGGCAGCUAGAACAUGUGUGAGCCGGAUGGCUUUACCAAUACCAUCUGAAAAACAUUAUGAACCAAAUUGAAUUGAACAUAUGCUUAGUAUUUUAUUUUUGUGAAUGAAAGAAGAAUAAAGAGAGAAAAAUUAAAUACCUUGCUCCAUCUUGUUGGAAAUUCACAGUCACAACUCACAAACACGACUACUAAAUGACUAGAGCCAAAGAAGAAGCUGUUGCCUUGAUUGCUACUUCUAGCACACAAAUCAAGUGGUAUGAAAUCAUGAAACAACUCAGCAUUUCUUUAUUAAAUACUCAUCCAUAUUUCAUCUACUUGAUAUAUUAAAUAAAGGGUUAAUUAAGUUUUUAGUCUCUAUAAAUAUUCACAGUUUUGUUUUUAGUCCUUACAAAAUAAAAUCACACUUUUUAGUCUCCGUGACAUUUUCCUUAAUAAUUUUAAGGACCAAAAAUGCUGAUGGAAAAUUUUUAUAGGGACUAAAAAUGCUGAUGGAACAUUUUUAUAAGGACUAAAUAUGUUGAUGAAAAUUUUUAUAAGGACUAAAAUGUGUGAUUUUAUUUUGUAGGGAGUAAAAACAAAACUGUGAAUAUUUAUAGAGACUAAAAACUUAAUAAACCUUUAAAUAAAUGGAGUGUUAAAGAGAGUACACCUUAUCGGCUAUUGAAAAACAUAAAGCUUAUUUACUUUUCGUGGUAUAAAUCACAUUUUGUUGUUUAUCAUUCCAAAUUUUAUGAUUGGUGUCAUAAUCCAUUUUUAUGUUUAGAUGCUGGUUAAUUGUUAUUAUUUCUAUUUGAGACUUAAUUAUUGACUAUCCUCUUUAACACACCUUGUGCUGGAGGAAUAUAUUGUCGGUUUUAAUAUAUCUUAUUUUGAUUUGUUAAAAAAAAGUGGAGUAAUUAAAAUCUUUGAGACAAUUUUUUUAAUGAAUUUUUUAAGACAAAUGUUAAUUUGUAUCCUAAAUGACACAUGUUAAGAAACUCGUUAUAGAAAUACAUAUAUAAAAAAUCGUACAUUAAACUUCUAAAAAGUAAAACUAUCAUUAUAAAAUUGCCCUUCUUAGAUUGUUUAACAUGACACAUUCUUUAAUCAAUACCCAUCAAAUAAAACUAGUACAUCGAUCCCCGUGAGCUUAGCUCAGUUGGUAGGGAUAUUGCAUAUUAUAUGCAGGAGUCGGGGUUGGAACCCCGGACACUCCACUUCUCCACAAUUAAAUUGUGUGAGCUCUAGCCAUUAGGCUACUCGACAAAAAAAAAAAAAAAACUAGUACAUCGACUGGAUUAAUUACGUGGACCGUGCCAACAGAAGAUUUGAUUGAACUCCAACUUAGAAUGACACAUUCACAUUUAAUAUUAUUUUAAAUAGGAUUAUCUUCUCCCGGAGAUAUUUAAGAUUUUUUUUAUUAAGUAUACCUUAUCCAACCUGUUUUCAACGUUUAAAAGUAUUUUCAUCGGCACGUUUGUGUCUGAAUCAUAGCGUACCUUAGGUGAUAGUUGAUAUCAUAUGACGGGGACACAGUGUUGGUAGGUAAAUGGUAAGGUUUUUGUUAACUAGUAUCCUUAAAGAAAUUUAUAAUUAUAAAAAUUGUCUUAAAAAUAUAAACUAUUAUUUUUUAUUAACUAAUUAUUACAUCAUUUUUUGAUAAAAUUUUAUCUCUUUUAACUGCUUAAUCAAUGCCCCAGAGAUACUUGGUUAACAUUGUCGAAAGAAUAAAUGCAUAUUAUUCAUCUGAAAACAAAUAGUAUUUUUUUAUUGAAGACAAAAUGGCCGUGGCAUGCACUUACAUAUCACAACUAAUAUGAAUCAUUUGUCAAUAUUUUGGUGGUGGUCGGAAUUUUAAAUCUCAAAUUUUGUAUCUAUUAUUAUCUUUACCAACUGAGCUAAGUUUACGAGUACAAUUAUUUAUCAAUGUAUAAUAACUAAUGUGAAUCAUGUAUUUUAUAGUUAUUUUUAAAAUGUAACUAUAAAAUUGGUUUACAUGUUUUAUUUUUAACAAAUGUGUCAGCAUAUUAAAUUGUUAUUAGAUAUCAAAGAGCAAAUGGCAAAAUAUUUCUACUUUAAAAUGAAAGUUGCAGAGAUUAUAACAUACCACACGUUACACGAUUAAUAUUUUGGGUUCUUUGUACACAACGUCAGCGAAAUACAAGUAGAUUUAAAUCAUCAAAUUUAAGCUAGGUAAGUGAAGAAAAAUCUUAGAUGUUUUUUGUGACUAACUACGAUUCAAAUUGAAAGGAAAAUUUUAUCGGACAAUUGUAAGAUCUGCAAUGUUGUAGAAACAAAGUAUUAUGCGGUGAACAACCAACACGAGAAUAAAUUAGUGUAGUGUGUUGGAACAAAAUGUGUUUAACAUUACCCUUUAAGGAUUUUGAUGAUAACAAGGUAUUAAAAAUUGUCAAUUGGAUAUGCUAAUAUUUGUUCAAGUGUGCAUGACCAUAGACAAAAAUUUGAAAUCAUUAUUAGGUUAUAGAAGAACAGAAGAGAGCAAAGGAAUCAACAAAAAUGAAGCUUAAGGCGUUUGAAGAGAAGUGCUCUUGAAGACAAAAGUGCUCCUGAAGUGAUGACAUUAUCAGAAGCAAGUUCAUCAGAAGCAUCUCAUCAGAAGCAAGAUCACCAGAAGCUAAAGUUCAACAGGAGAUGCAAGACUUAAAGCUUCAAAGGUUGUUCAAUGGAUUUAAUCUCGUCUAAGCAUUGCAGAAGACUGGAAGAGUGAAGCAACGACUAUUUUAAAAGGAUUUGAAGGCAUUGGAUGCUUGUUCUUUGAAGGGCGUUGACAAAGUACAAUUGUACGAAGUGUACAACCACUAUCUCCACUACUCAGUUUGUGUCUCUGCUACAAGACAAGAAUAACAGCUCUGCCUGCAACAAUGUUCCUACAUACUGGAAUUGGAUUUGAAAUUGAUCCUUCAUAGGAAAAUAAUCAUAUCAGGCAAAAGAUCAUUGGUGAUUGAUCAAAGCUUCAAACGACUCUAUUUUGAUGUGCUGACAAUUCACAACGUCUCUUUCACACCUCUAUAUAAAGGAGUGAAGACUUAGAGAAUGGAAAGACUCAGCAACAAUUUGAAAGCGCCUAAACUCUGUCGAAAUUGUUCUGCAUCAAAAGUUCACUUAUAAUUUCUUAUCAAAGUUCAUAUCUUAGAAAUUCUAGAGUCAUAAGAGCCUGUAUCUGAUUUGUAUUGUGAACACCACUGAUUGUAUAUCAAGUGUUCAACCUCAAACAUUUUUCUUUGUAAUUCUGUUUGAAUUUAGAAGUCUCUUGCAGCUGGACUUGAGCAUUAGAAGUCUCUUGAUUGUGUUCAGAAGCAUAGGAAGUCUCUUGCAGUUGUGCUUGAGCAUUUGAAGUCUCUUGCUAGUUUUAGCAGUGAGCAGUUGUAAUCAGAUAUUACAUUUUAGUGAACUCUCCUUGGAAGUACAAGAGGGACAGGACUGACUUCCGGUUUGUGGAAGGAACUUGUAUAAUUGCUUUGUGUCUUUCUUCUCUCUCUCUCUCUCUCUCUCUCUCUCUCUCUGUUUUAUCUGCUGCUACUUAGUUCUGGAAAUCACUUCAAAAGCAUAACUAUAUUUGCUUCUGAUCGGUGUUUUCAGCUUAGGAGAAAGCGAAGAAAAAGCUAACACAAUUCAACUCCCCUUCUUGUGUUUUUCUCACUUCAUAGCGCGGAGAUGAAAAUGUAGCGUUGGAUAUGUGGUGAGACAAGAUGAUAGAAUUAGAAAUGAAAAAUGAGAGAGAGAGAGAGAGAGAGAGAGAGAGAGAGAGAGAGAGAGAGAGAGAGAGAGAGAGAUGGUGUAGCACUUAUAGUGAAAAAAAAUGGUUGGAAAAUAGAGUUAGGUAAUUUGGGCAUGUGAAGAAAAGAUCUAUAAAUUUUGUGCAGUAAUGAGAGUAGAUCAGAUGGAGGAUAUCCAUAUCUCUAGAAAUAGAAGAAGACCUGAAAAACAUAUGAAUAAUUAGUAAGAAAGACAUGAUGAUUAAUGAGUUAAAUCAAAAUAUGGUUUAAGAUAAAACAUUAUAACGUAAUUUGAUUCAUAUUAUUGAUCCUACGUAUUGUGAUAAGACUUGUUUUUAUGCAAAUCAAAUCAUGGUUUUCAAAGUAUCUUGAAGAAGAUUCGUCGAUCAACUCAUUUACAUCCAAUACAUAUAGAUUCGUGGAGGCGAAUCGAACCUAAAAUUUAGUGUGAUACCCACUUUGGAGUUUUCUUCAUGCACAACUAAAUGGAGACCCUCAAUUUUGAGGUCUUAAACGGGUUCCACAUUGACACAUCACUUUUUUUUAUAAUUUUUUAAGGCUUAAAUAUGUAAAUCGUCCCUGUAAUUUGGCGUGUUUUUGGUUUUUGUCCUUGUAUCUUUUUUUGUUCUAAAACAACCCUGUAAGUUAAUAACUUUUUGAUUUUCGUCCCUCCCGUCAACUUCCGUUACAAAAACGCAAAUGUGGCAAACGGAGGAUGACGUGGCAAACUUAUUGAUGAGUCACACAGUGAGAGGGACCAAAACCAAAAAACGAAAUUUGUAGAGGGACCAAAGCCAAAAAACAAAAUUCGUAAAGGGACCAAAACCAAAAAGCGAGAAAAAAUAGCUUUCUUCAUCUUCUUCCUUCCACCUCUUUUACAUCUUCAUCAUUGUCUUCAUAAAUUCAUCAAAAAACCCAGGAAAAAAUACUCAGAAAAGAGAUAAAAAAAACUCAAAAUCAUCAUCUCACUCUCAAUAGACAACUUCUCACAAACCCAAACAAAAUCCCCAUUGACAAUGGUCAGAUUGACAUCUCAACACUAAAAUCCACAAUGUUCAUAGUCCCAACUAAACUUUUAUUGAUAAUAUCGAAAUCAAAUUAUAACAACAAAAUCCUCAUUGUGAAUGCUCGAAUUCCCAAUAUUGAAAAAAUUCACAAAACUCUCAAAUUGAAAAACCUAAAGAAUGAUUUUUUUUCAUUACCAACUCUCGUCUCAUCAUUGAUCUCGCAUCUCUGCUGUUUCUUGGUCACUCCAAAUGCUUUCUUCGUCAAUUCUUUGAACUUUAAUAUCAUCAUUUUUGUUUCGAACAUUUGGGUCGUGUUCUUUAUUUCCGGUUGAUUUGGAAGAUUGUUGUGUUAAAUUGGAUUAUAAGAGAAAGGUUUAAGUUUGAUAUGAAUAUUCUUUUCAUUUGAAGUUCUAGAGGGAUAAUAAAUAGAAUUGAAAAAUAUGUUGGAAUGUUGAAUUGAGAUAAGUUUUAUUUUAAAGUGUGUGAAAUUGGAUUGCACGUUGAACAGUGGGUAUAUUGGUUUAAUUUGAUUUUGUUGUUUGUGAGAAGAAAUAAAAGAGAAGUUAUAAUUGAAUGUGUUGGAUUGAGUUUGUUGUUGUUUUGAGUUGAUGGAUUUUUGGAUUUUGAAGUGAUGAAUUUCUGUGUUUGGUUGAUGAUGAUGAUGAAGUUUAUGAAGACAAUGAUAGUAAUGAAGAAGAAGAUGUGGGAAAAAGAUGAAGAAAUAUAAUUAAAUUUGAAUUUUUCGUCUUCUCGUUUUUUGGUUUUGGUCUUGGAAAUAGUCAAGUUCAUCUACAAAUUUCGUUUUUUGGUUUUGGUUUUGGUCCCUUUACGAAUUUUGUUUUUUUUGGCUUUGGUCCUUCUACAAAUUUCGUUUUUUGAUUUUGGUCCCUCUCACUGUGUGACUCAUCAAUAAGUUUUCCACGUCAGGCACUACCACGUCAUCGUCCGUUUGCCACAUGUGCAUUUUUGUAACGGAAGUUGACGGGAGGGACGAAAAUUAAAAAGUUAUUAACUUAUAGGGGUUGUUUUAAAACAAAAAAAGAUACAGGGACGAAAACCAAAAACACGCCAAAUUACAGGGACAAUUUACAUAUUUAAGCCAUUUUUUAAUAAUAGUACAUAAUAGGUACUCAAUCACUCCAAUAGAAACCCUGUAACAAAAGGUUUAAAUGAGACCCACCAAUAAUUUUUUAUCAUUUACAUUUCAACAAAAGUAACUCAACAAUGUUAUUUUAUUAAAAAGUGGUGUGGGGUCCACUUAAGAAUGGGGAUCAUAAGUGAGACCCCGGGUCUUAAGAGACCCCAAAAUUUUUUCCCACAAUGGGGGUACCUAUUUGGUAUCGGGUCUUAAAUGGUGAAGACCUCACCAUUGUGGAUGGUCUAACACCUCUAAUCGUCUUUGUUUUCGUUUUCUUUUAUUCUUGGUUUUUGGAGCAACCCACAACAAAUGUUCUGACAGGAGGCUGCAUAUGUAUUGAACUUUAAAAUUUGUAGUUUGCCUAUAUUGUAUCUGGGCCUCCCUGUUGGAGGUGAUUCUCGUAGACUGCAUUUUUGGAAUCCUGUGGUUAAUUGCACAAAAUCUCAUCUGUCCCGUUGGAAAAGCAAACAUCUUUCUUUUGGUGGUCGUCUUGUUCUUCUUAAGUCUGUCUUGAUCUCUCUCCCUGUCUAUGCUCUUUCCUUCUUCAAAGCUCCCUCAGGUAUCAUCUUCUCUAUUGAAUCUCUUUUAAUUUUUUUUUUUUGGGUGGGUGUGAGGAUAAUAGGAAAAUUUCCUAGACUGAUUGGGAGUCCAUAUGUUUUGCUAAGGAGGUUUGAGGUUAGGAGACUUAGGGAGUUUAAUUUGGCGUUGUUAGGGAAGUGGUGUUGGAGGAUGGUAGUGGAUAAAAAGGGGUUUUGGUUCAUAGUUCUGACUGCUAGAUAUGGUGGGGUUGGGGGGCGACUUCAGUCUUGUGGUAGUUAUGGGUCAGUGUGGUGGAAGGAUAUUGUCUGUAUCCGUGAUGGCAGUAGUUCGGUGUUGGGGAGUUGGUUUUCAGACAACUUACGUCUUAGAGUCGGUAAUGGUGUUAACACCUUGUUUUGGCUGGAUAGGUGGGUGAGUGAUGUCCCCGUUUGUGAGAAAUUUCGACGCUUAUAUAAUUUAUCUGAUAAUAAAUUAGCUACUAUGGCGCAAAUGUUUCAUUGGGGGUGGGAUGUGGGUGGGGAAGCAUGGAAGUGGCGAAGGAGGCUUUAGGUUUGGGAGGAGGAGUUGUUAGAGGAGUGUAUGCUUUUUUUAUUAACAGUUACGUUGCAGGUUGAUUCUGUUGAUGCUUGGAGGUGGACCCCUGACAUAGCCAACGGUUGCACGGCUAGUGGUGCUUACCGCUUGCUCACAGAUACGACGCAUAUCAAUAAUCAGAUUCCGGCUAAGCUGUUAUGGAGGAAGGAUGUGCCUUUGAAGGUUUCAUUGUUUGCUUGGCGUUUGUUUCGCAACCGAUUGCCUUCAAAAUUAAAUUUAUUCCGUAGAAGUAUCAUUCUUCCUGAGGCGCGGAACUGUGUUAGUGGUUACGGUUUUCAGGAAUCUGAAUGUCAUUUAUUUCUAUCUUGUGCUUUUUUCGGUCAUCUCUAGCAGCUGGUUAGAAAUUAGUUUUGUGUUCACUCAGCGGAUCCAUCCCAUAUUUUGGAUCAUUUCAUUCAGUUCGGUUCUUCUACAGGUUACGGUAAAUCUAAAUGCUCUUUUAUGCAUUUGAUUUGGUUUGCUACAACUGGGUAAUUUGGAAGGAAAUGAAUGCUAGAAUUUUCACAGGCACUCAGAGUUCCCAUAUACAACUUCUAGAGAAUGUCAAACAUCUUUCCUUCUGGUGGUUUAAGGCUAGUGUUGUAUCUUUUCAUUAUAGUUUUUACAACUGGUGCCAAAAUCCUUUGUUAUGUGCAGGAAUGUGGCUAAUUUUUUCAUUGUUGUUGUACUCUGACUGUAUUUUGUGAGCGCUUUCUGUGGUACACCUUGUACCUGGAAGUUGGCUCUCUGUUUCAAUAUGUCAUUUUGAUUUCUUAAAAAUAAAAUAAAAAUGUUCUGACAUUAAAUAUCACCUAGUUAUAAUGUUACAUCGACAACGACAAUACGUCUUUAUUAAAUUAUUUUUGUAAAAUAGCCAUUAAAAAAUGUGACAGGUAAUUAUAAUUUAAGAAAUUAAUCGAUUAAAACAUAGAUUAAGGAGUGAAUGGGAAAUGACUUUGUCGAUGUAAACUAGUUUUCUUUAAUAGGUUAAUUGUUCAUCUCUAAUAUAUGUGAAGUCUGAAAAAUAAUUUUGUAAUAAAAAAAUACGGAUUCUACGUAUGUAUGUAAUUUGAGAUUCUUCCUAUUUUUUACAUAAUUUUUUUUUUUUGGGUUAAAUAAGUUUUUCGUCCUUAUAAAAUAUCAAAUUUUGAUUUUAGUCCCUAAAAAAUAAAAUGAGAUGUUUUCAUCCUAAAAAAAAAAUUCUUUUAUUUUUGGUCCUUAAUGGAUAUAAUUUUGACAUGUUUGUGACAUUUUUUGAACAUAAUAUGAAUAUAUAAAGGUUGAACAUAAUAAACAUACAUAAUAUGGAUACAAUUUGAACAUAAAAAAGUUAUAAUUUUUACAUUCACAUGAACAUAAAGUGGUCAUUAAGGACCAAAAACAAUUUUUUUUUUUUUAGGAUGAAAACAUUCAGUUUAAUUUUUUAGGGACUAAAAUCAAAAUUAGCUAUAUUUAUAGGAACGAAAAACUUAUUUGACCCUAUUUUAUUUUAGAGAUGCAGUUCAGAAAAGUGAUCUGAACGUUAAAUUUUUUCAUGAUUUUUUGUAUGUAUAUUUAGGACGUUAAAAUAUGACUUUCCCUGCAAAAAUAGAAUUUUUCAACAAGGAACGAAUUAAUUAUGAAUUUUUAAAACUCCAAAAACUAAAAUAAAAUAAAAUAAUGGAAAUCACAAUCUAGAAAUUGAAUUUUGAGUUGUUUUUACACAGAUACCUCUAUAAAAUACAUAGAGAGGACCUGAAAAGUUUCAUAAUAUUUCAAUCCUGAAAUGUGUCAUAUCAUUUUGAUUACACCUCAAUUAUAUUGAAUUUUCAACCAAAUCGUACAAAAUUGUAAUUUUGUUCCAAGUAAACAUAUACUCGUAGGUCAAAUUGACGUCCUAAUUAACAUGCCUCCAAAGUUUAUUUAAGUAAAAUAAUAUUAUGCGUUCUCAUCAGAUAUCUAUUUAAAGUUAUUUUACAUCGACAAUGGAUCUUCAUUCAAUUAUAAAUUUAAUUACACUUAUUGAAAAUGAUAAAAAAAUCAUUAUAAAUGUAUUAAAGUCUUUUUGAAGGAAAAAAUAUAUAUUAAUGUUAAAUAUUGUAGAUUAAUGUAUUUUUAUAAUUGUCGAUGAAUGUUAGUUUGGUUGGUACACAUAUCCUCCAGGAAUAUAGGGUCAAUUCUCGUUGUCUAGAACUUCAUAAAUAGAUUAUUUGUAAGUAGAUUAAUUAACGUUAACUGAGUCUUAAUAUAUGAGUCCCUAAAUCCUAACUGAAGGUAAAUCGACAUUAACAGAAUAAGCAGCGGAAUAACAUUUCGAUUUACUUUCCUUGGAUCAUUACGAAUUGAAACUUGAACCAGUGAUUCGAUUGUUACCUUAGAACGAUUANAUGGGAUUGACUACUAAUAAUAAUAUAUUAUAAUAAUAAUUACUUAAUAAAAUCAAACUUACUCCUUGAAAAAAAAAAACAUAUUGAUAAUAAUAAAGUAAACAUGUAAGAGCACGAAAAAGAAAACAUGAAGUAAAUAAUGCGAUCAACAACAACCAAUUCGUGAAGAAAAUAAAAAUGACGAGAAUAAAAAAAAUUAAAACCUAGAAAAAGAAAACAAACAUGAAAUAAUGAUACCGAGAGAAACAAAAAACUGAAGUGGGAGAAGGAGUAAAAAGUCUCAAGAAAUCUCAAGGCUAUGUGUGGGAGACAAAAAAGUCUCUUAGGUGUGAGAUUGUUAGUAGGUACAAUUUACAUUAAAAAGUUUCACAAAAUCCAUUACUCACAACAAUCCAUUAAAAUCCUUACAAUUUUGAAUACCAAUAGACAAUUUUUAAGUUGUACAAAAUCUCAAUUGAAUACCACUGGAUUUUAUUGUACUCAUUAAAAAAUCUUGAAAAUCCUAAUUGAAUACCACAAGAAUAUUUUAGAUUCCUUAAAAGUCUUGAUUGAAUACCUAAAAACUUUUUUAAAACAAAAAAGUCUUUUAAAAUCUUUUGAAAUUUCAAUUGAAUACAUCCCCUAAAUUUAUGACAUAAGUGAUAUUUAUAUUUCUCGUAAAUAAUCUUUAUGUGUAAUUUUUUUGGGUACAACUUUUCCCAAUAAUUUUGGAGAAAAAUAAAAAAUAAAAAAUAUAGUGGCAAUGGGAGAAGGAAAUGAGCUUUCCAGUUUUCUAUCCACUAGUAUCAAUCUUUGGCGCUACCAAAAAAACCAGAACAGAGUAAGAAAAAAAACCAGAAUCUUCAUCUUCAAUUUCAAUUUCAAUUUCAAUUUUAACCCAACACCAUAAUCGUCCUUUAAUUUCCACUCUUCAUUCAUUCAUUCAUUCAUGUGAAUAUAUCAUCAUUCAUCAAUGGCUCUUCUUCCCACUCGCCAACUUCACCCAUUUCACACUUCUCCUAACUUCCAUCAUUCUAUCCGUUUCUUCACCACAAUUUCUUCUUCUUCAAUUCAAAAAAGCUUCAUUUUCAAAACACCCACAAAAAAUUUCACUUAUCUUUCUUCAAAAAAUCCCAUUUUUCACCUUAAGAGUUUCUGCACUGAUACAUGGUUAAAACGCUGGAAUGAACAAAAUCGCCCGAAACCGCCUCGCGGGGUUUUGAAUUAUCAAGGUUCUGGAAAUGGGCAUUCAUCAAAAUCUGAUUUUGAUAGCUCUGAUGAUGAAGAUUUUGGUGGUAGUAGAAUGGAUAGAAUUGUUGAGAAAUUGAAGAAAUUUGGGUAUGAAAGUGAUGAAAAUGAGAAUAUAAAAGAAGAAGGAGUGAUAGAAAAAGGGUCAAUGGAGGAUAUAUUUUAUGUAGAAGAAGGAAUGUUGCCUAAUACAAGAGGCGGGUUUUCGCCGGAAUCACCAUUUGGGAUUGGAAGUUAUGGAAGUGGUGAUGGUGGUGAAGUGAGGUUUCCUUGGGAGAAACCAGUGGUGGAUGAAGAAGUUGAAGAGAGGACGAGUUCGAGGAAGAAGAGUAAGACUUCUAUGGCGGAAUUGACUCUUCCCGAGUCUGAAUUGAGGAGGUUGUUGAAGUUAACUUUUAUGAAGAAGCAUAAGACGAGAAUCGGGGGUGGUGGUGUUACUCAAGCUGCUGUUGAUAAGAUUCAUGAGAGGUGGAAGACCUCUGAGAUUGUUAGGCUUAAGUUUGAAGGUGAUGCUGCACUUAACAUGAAGAGGAUGCAUGAGAUAUUGGAGGUUUGGUUUUUUACCUUUUGCUUCUUGUAUAUUCAACAUUUAAUAGUCUUGUUUUUAUUGAAAAACCUGUGCAACUUAGGGGAUUCAUGAAAACUAGAUAGACCAACCCGAAUUGUAUGCAUUUACACCUCAGUGUUUAAAUAUAGGACCUUGUUGACUAAAUCACAGAAAUUAAGAAAGUUGGUAGUACUAUUAAAUUUGUUAGUAAUUGAUAUUAUUUCAACAAGUUCAUCCUUCAAGGUAGAGUACGUUUAUGUUUCCAUCGUAGUAUUUAUUGUUGGUUCAGGGGUAUGUUUGUAAGGAAAUUAUUAAUGCAGUUGAAAAUUCAAAUUAGGUUGUAUAGAAAGAGACAGACAUUUCUCAAGAGGGUCUUAUACUUAGAGACGGAGGUAGUAUAAUAUAUUUAUUUGAAAAGUUCUCAAAUCCAAUGUAGUGAUGCAUAAUUGUGCAAUCUUCUAUGUCGGAUUUCAUAUAUUUUGUAGACAUUUCACUGGAGUCUUUUUCAAUUGUUCUUUCAUACCUGCAUCCUUGACUAUCAAUAACUGUGGCUAUAUUCUUGUUAAUUCUUGAUACUACAUUCAGAAAAAAACUGGUGGUCUGGUGAUUUGGAGGUCUGGCAACUCUGUUUCCUUGUACAGAGGUGUGAGCUACAAGGAUCCUUCAAUACAACAGAAUAAACAGUUAUAUAGGAAAAACGAGAAAUCUUUGAAGUUUCUAUCAGCACCUUCGGAUGAUUUUGAAGUGGAGCCUUCUGAAUUUACUACUGAUUCUGAGACAAAAACAUCGUUGGAAAAAUUGGAAUCUACAAAUGAUCAGAAAGAAAAAGUUAAUCUGCCAAAAAUCAGUUAUGAAGAUGAAGUAGACAAGUUAUUGGAUGGUCUAGGUCCUAGAUAUACAGAUUGGCCUGGAUGUGAGCCACUGCCUGUUGAUGCGGAUAUGCUUCCUCCAACUGUUCCUGGUUACCAACCUCCCUUCAGAGUUCUUCCUUUCGGAGUGAGACCGACACUUGGUUUCAAGGAGGCAACUUCUCUACGAAGGAUUGCUAGGGGACUCCCUCCACAUUUUGCAUUAGGUUUGUCAUCGUUUCUGUUAUGCAGUUAUGCAUGUGAAGUUUAGAAUUUCAUUGUGAUCAUAAAUUAAUCGUGAAAUGUAGGUAGAAACAGGCAGCUACAAGGUUUAGCUGCAGCCAUGAUCAAAUUGUGGGAAAAAAGUUCUAUAGCAAAAGUUGCACUCAAACGUGGUGUGCAGCUAACUACCAGCGAGAGAAUGGCAGAAGAGAUCAAGGUGAUUUAUCAUGUUCUCCCGGUUCAACUAAUAAAUUUUGUUGAAUUGUUUUUGCAGUUUCAUUUUCUUAAGCAAUCUCUUCACUGUUCAUGUAUCCUUGGUAUGCCAUUCACGAAAGCAUAGAUUUUCCUUCUGUUUGAAAAUGUACACAAUUUUUUGCAUCGUUAGUCUGUAGGCAGCCAUUAAGUGGACAUUAAGUAUGAAGAGGAUGAAACCAGUACGCUAUGCAAGUUUGUAAUUCGUAAGGGCUAGGACACUUGUACUGAGAAAUUAAUGCAUCUCAACAUCUGUUACGAUCAGCAUUUCAUAUUUGACUUAAUAUGACACUGUGAUAAACUAAAUAGUGUAGAUUAGUACACAAAAGUCAGUAAGAUAGCCUUUGCAAUUAGCUUUGUGUACGAUGGAAUUCGCUGCUAAAAUCAGAUAUAAGUAUCACGUUAUAGGCUUUUUUUAACACAAACAAAAUAAGAUCAGGUAGUUUUUUAUAUGCAUUUGUACUACACCACUAUGUGAUGAUUUGUAGAUGAAUAUUUUUUUUAUUACCGGAUGCAGAAAUUGACAGGUGGCAUAAUACUGUCCAGAAAUAAAGACUUCUUGGUCUUUUAUCGAGGGAAGAAUUUUUUAUCACCAGAUGUCACUCAAGCCUUGCUAGAGAGGGAAAAAAUGGCCAAAUCAAUGCAGGAUGAGGAGGAGCAAGCAAGAUUGAGAGCGUCAUCAUUGAUCUUACCAGCUAUUAAUACAUCAGAGUUGUCAGCGGAGGCUGGGACUCUUGGCGAAACUUUGGAUGCAGAUGCAAAGUGGGGAAAGACAUUGGAUGAGUGUCACGAGCAAAAAGUUAUGAGAGAAGUAGAACAACUACGGCAUGCCAACAUUGUUAGAAAGUUAGAAGAGAAGCUUUCACUUGUAAGUCCUUUAAGUCUAUAUCUGAGACUGAAAUUGAUUCCCACAUCAUCAACAAGCCUAAAUUUUUUGUUAUAGCUGUUGGGCUUGUUUGAUUUUUUAAUGUGUUUAAUAAGAGUCUUGUAUAGACCCUAGUCAUUCAUCAUUUAAAAUAUUGUAUAUGCACAAUGUUAGUGGUACUUGAGGUUUUGCUAUUCAUUAUCGUCAUCUUUUGGUUCCUAAUUUCACUCUAGGAUUAUUUUCCAAUUUAUAAUUUACAUGAUUAUGAUCCCUGGAUUUUUUGCUUACCAGGCUGAAAGAAAGAUAAGGAGAGCCGAAAGAGCCCUAAUGAAGGUGGAGGUCUCUUUGAAGCCAUCAGAAACCAGAGCAGACCCUGAAAGUAUAACCGAUGAAGAGAGAUUUAUGUUUCGCAAAUUAGGAUUGCGGAUGAAAGCUUUCUUACUUCUUGGUAGAGCUCUAUCUAUAUGAUAUUUUCUUUACUCUAUGUCAGAACCACUUUGAUUCACUUCACCACUUGCUAAGGGUGGGAUGAAAGAAAUCAGAUAGAAAAAGUUUACGUUACAAAUAAAUCUGAUUCAUGAUAAUGAUAUGUGAGGGUGCUUUAGUUGUGGUAUUAAAAUGAAUGUAAUUCAUGAUUGCAGGUAGACGUGGAGUUUUUGACGGUACUAUCGAGAACAUGCACUUGCACUGGAAGUACCGGGAACUGGUCAAGAUAAUUGUUAAGGCUAACAACUUUGAACAUGUAAAAAAAAUUGCACUAGCACUUGAAGCUGAGAGUGGUGGUGUUCUGGUUUCAGUUGACAAAGUUUCAAAAGGAUAUUCUAUACUUGUUUACCGGGGAAAGGAUUACCAGCGCCCUUCAAUGUUGAGACCGAAGAAUCUCUUGACAAAGAGAAAGGCUUUGGCACGUUCAAUCGAGCUUCAACGACAUGAGGUAUGCACACAGACUUAUUUCUUCCUAUCAAAUGCUAAUUGUAAUAUUUUCCACUCCAAUUUGUUGCAUUCUGAUAGAAACUGGUACCAAUUAAUAUAAAAACUGCUUAACAACUGACUUUUAUUGAGUAAUAUCUACAGAAAGGAACAUUGUGCAGGAACUAGGAAUUGCAAGAUCACGGUUCUACCAAGUCUUUGAGAACUUGGCAACCACUUGAUAACCCACUCUGCCUUCCCUUUCCUAUUUAUUCUGAAUACAAUACACACAUAACUAAUAACAUAAUUAAUUAACAAAUAUAAUUACAUAAUACACAAUUAACUGUAGUAACUGUUUCGACCCUGCAAUAACUGACCAAAGUCACUUUUGACUGUUUCAACCCCUCCUCCUGUAUUAUUCCUUUCUCAGAGGUCAAACACAUUCCACUCUCAAUUAGAUAUCUAACAUAAAGUUUAUCAAUUUGGUCCCUAAUACUUCCCAAUCUUUCAUUUUUUUUUUCUUCUGGCAAAACAACAUUUUGUUUGGCUUAGUUUGUUGUGUUCAGUAUGCAUUGUUUAUCCUUAAUGUUAUAGAAAAGCUUUUGUUAACAAAGUUAUACAUAAAUAGUUUAGAUGAAAAAAAUUUAGAAAUGUCAAGUUUUAACUCUUAGAAUUUGGGUUGAGCCUAAUCGACAUUAGAAAACCAGCUUGUAAGGUGAGGGUUGCCAAAUCUCUAUAAACACUACACAGACCAUAUGACAUGUCUAGGCAAUGUGAGACUAAAUCCACCCGUUAACACCCAACACAAUGAAGGUGUUGGAGAUUGCAAUUAAUGCAACCCGAAUGCCGCAAUUAGGCAGCUAGGGGCGGACUGCAAUGAAGCAGAAUUUCCAACAAGGACAUAUAGUGGGUAAAUUGAUAAAGGAUAUUUCAGAUAGAAGGUUUUACUUUAAUUCUUCUUAUUUAUUUCUCCAUCUUGUAAAUGUGCAUAUGUAUACACAUGUUUUUUUUGUUGUUGUUCUUUUCAUGUUCAUAAUAAAUACUCCUUGCCUCAUUCUAUUGACAAACAGGCACUUUCAAGUCAUAUUUCAACUCUGCAAAGUAAAGUGGAGAAGUUAAGAUCCGAAAUUGUACGUACUAUUGAUAGUUACAUUUUUAGCAUCUCAUUACCAUCUAAGCUGUUUAUUAUAUGGAAACCUAGAUUCCUGAUUUUUGUUUGUCUGGACCAAUUUUCACAGGAACAAAUAGAGAAAGUAAAGGAGGAAGGAGAUGAAGCAUUGUAUAACAGAUUAGAUUCGGCUUAUUCUACAGAUGAUGAUAACUCUGAGGUCUCUCUCUCUCUCUCUCUCUCUCUCUCUCACACACACACACACACACACACAUACAUUCACGCACACACUAAGAAUUUAUGACACUGCAUUUCCUUUUAUAUUUGUGUGAAAAUAUGUUAUAUAUGUAGGCGGAGGAUGAGGAGGAAGAAGUUGAGGCAUAUCUUCAGAGUGACAAUGAUGAAAAUGAUAGUGAAGUUGAAAGUGAUGCUAUUUAUUUCCAACCUGAGGAAUUUGCCUCACAAAGUUGAAGGUCAGGGGUCGUGACUUUUUGGAUUCCUGAUGCCUAUGUGGAUCAUCAAUGGCAGUGACACUCGAUUCAUUGGAACAAAGCUGAUUGAUGAAGAAUGUAAUAGCUUGUUCGGACGAAACCACUGAUAAAUUCAUGCUCAAUUCAGUGAGAUCAUAGAGUAUGCAAUUGGACACUGUCCUGAAUGUAAUUGCUUAUACAGUAUUAAGGUUAGUAUAAGAUGUAUGUAUAUACAUUUGUUGGUUAAGUUAACUAGGAUUGAAUACGUCAAGGGGUCUGUUUACAUAUGGUUGAGGAAUAGGACCUUCAUAUUUAUUAGCUUAUAGAAAAACUAUCUGCUGAUUUUGAUGAAUUUUAUUUUAUGAAUUAAAAUAUUCAAUAGAAAUUGUUUUUUCUGUGUAUAACUUCAAAAUAUUCAAUAGAAAUUGUUUUUCUGUGUAUAACUUCAUUUUGAUCAGUACCUUUUCAUUUGUACCAAUUUACAAGUUUCAGGAUGUUGUGAUGGUUUUACACCAAACCCCAUUAAAAAAAAAAAAACUUUUCUUUCUUAUCUUAGUAAAUCACACGGUUGAAAUAAACAAUAUUUUUUUUAUAAUAUCACACUUCAUAAGAAAGUAACACUUGGUUCUGGCAGCAGCCAUAUUGGUCACACUUUUCUGAUGGACUUCUCUAUUAUUUGAAUGGAUUCCCUCAACUCUUUCUGAACACUUGGCCUUGAAGGUGACAGAACAAAGUCCUUCCAAACAGAACCAGGUUCCAUUGCUGGGCUAGGUUCCUUGUAAAGUUCACAGAUGGAAUCAGCUUCAUUAUUGAAACCUGCUACAUUUUUCAAGCUUUUGAUACCUACAGGAUCCUCUAGUAGAUUGUGAUCACCAUCCUUCCAUCCAAUAAGCUGUUUUGUGUGAAAAGAAAAUUAUCUUCUUGACAUUUUAAUUUUAAUACUGCUAGUAAUAAAGUGUAAAUCAAUCACAAUCGAGGAAAGUUGCUCCUGUUUUUACCUUUGGUGGACCACCAACAGCAUCUGUGCAAUAGAGCCUAGCACUGUCAACAAGUUUGCAGUAUUUUGGAAAUGCAUUAGCAAAUCUUUUGUGAGAUUGCAACUGUGAAUUCACCCUCACUGCCCUCCCUGUCAUAAUAGCUCUCCUGUUAAAAUUCCAAAAGGAAAAUGUUAACUGUCAUAACCAAAAAUAACACCACCAAAGUACUACUAAUAUAGUUGAAUUCCAAAAGGAUAGAUAUACACCUAAUGCCUCUAAUAACUGCAAGAUAUCCAUCACAAACCACACCAACUAGCUCAAUUCUGUAAGGCUUUUGAGAGUGUAGUUCCCCUGUAGAAUUUUCCUCUUGUUGAUGUUCUUCUCCCUCAUUCACUUGCUCCCAGUAAUUUUCAUUAAUUGUACCAUCCGCAGCUACUUUAUAUCCUACCCCCAUUCUGUACUUAUGUUUGUGAACAUUUCUUGCCAUAGCAAUAGUCUGCUCCACAAAAGGUUCCCAUGAUAAGGUACCGUCCAUAAUCACAUCUCGCCCUUUGUUUAGAGCCGCCACUAGUAGAGAUGAUGCAGCAUCAGUUGAAGAUUGAUGCACCUGCUCAGAUUUUGAAAUGUUUAGAUCAUACAUUGAUCAUAGUAACAUUGCAUGAAGGUGAUCUUGUUCAGAUAGCAGCUUACCAAUUCAGCAGUUUGAAGCAUGUCAUCAUGGUGACCCCUUGAGUUAAGGGCUUUAUAUAUAACAUCAUUCUCCUUAAAAGCAUCUGCCUCAACAACCACUGCCUUUGAAGCUGCUCCCAACCAAAAUGAUCUGCCAAAGCCAUAAUAUUUAUUUUUAGGCAUAAAAACAAAGUUCUUACAUCUGCAAAGUACAAAGUAGGCAUGUAUGGUUCUUUUAAUACUUAAAUAUGCAUGUAUAGUUUGAAUAAUCCUAUUUGCGAGACUCGUGCAUAUAGGAUGGAUCCUAUUUAUGACACAGGCUUGGAUUGUUUACUGUCUCUCCAGCCGCACCUCAGUAGUUGGAUUGAUCCAAAGUCAGACAUUAAAUCCAACAAUCAAAUUGAGGUGCGUCUAGAGAAACAACAAUUGACUAUUAAAAGUGAAAAGAUAGAUUUUGUAGAAUUAUUAAACGUGGGAGAGUAGAAUUAGGAUGGAUAAUUACUCUUUAAGAAUGUCUUUAAGAACAGUGCUCUUUCCAGCUCCCAUGCCACCACCCAUGAACAGUAGAACUGGAUUCCUCUCACUGAGGGGCAUGGGGACCAUGACUUCUUUGGUUUGAGAAACACCACCAUUUAUUACUUUCAUCUCUUCGACCAAAGUAGAGAACACUCUUGUCACCUUCAGAUUCUUGGUUACUCUCUCAAACCUUUGUUUCCUAUAAACAUAAACAUCACUUACUUAGUGUCAUUUCCCCCUAUAUUAAAAACAUGUUAGUUCCUUUGAAGUGUUUUAACUCUAUAAUGAUUUGAACUUAAAUUAUUUGAAUCAAUGAUGAAAAUAUUAAAUGAGCAAGUUACCUUGUAGCUGCCAAUAGAAUUUCUUUCAGCUUCGUUUUGUGCUGAGACUCAGUUUUCAGUAUCUAUUGGUCAACGAAAGAGAUACUCAAUAAUAUUUUUUGGCAAAAGACAUACUCAAUACUUAAUUGAAGAGAAAAAUAUGUAUCAGAACAUAACAUAACAAAUAAAAAAGAAUAAAUGGAGAAUGAACCUGACUAAUAACAAAUGGAGCUUGUUUCCAAUGAAAUGCAAAAUAACUGAGGAUGCAUUUCUCAAACUCAUUAACCAACUUGACAUAGAGAGAUUCAUAGUCCUUUUCAUUGCCAAGAUAUUCAAAGAUGCUUUGAUCACAUCCUUUGGAUUUUUGUAGAUAUUCUUGGGCAAGUUUGCAUAAUUCUGGCACCUCACUUGCAUCUUCAAAUCCUAUUUGCCUAGCUACCAACACACAAACACACAAAAAAAAUUAAAAUUCUGAAUUUGAUCAAAUAAAUAUUCAGCUGCAUUUCAUCUUUCUGAUUUUCUAGAAUAUGCAAUUUUAAUAUCUCAUUGUAGGGAGGGCCAGAAGCCUACCUACUAGAAUAUGGCAAAAAUCCUAAGAACAAAAACACUGACAAGGUCAUUCUUUAAUCUUUACUAAAGAUGGCAAUAGAUAUGCACAAAGAAUUAUUUGUUAUUACAUUCGUCACGAAAUAUAAGAUCAUGCUGAUUGAAUCACAAAGAAUUAAAAAUAGUUGCUUGUCAUAUUAAAUUCGAUGACAAUUGAUAUUGUUUACAAAUUUACUCUAAAGAAUCGAGAAUUAGUCAAUAUUUUUAUCAAAGUAUUACAUACUGCAAAAAAAAUAUGUAACUUAAUUAAGACUAUCUUGGUGAAUAGAGACCUUACAUUUUAAAUAUUUAUUUAGUCUCACCUAAUUUUUAUAGACUAAAGUUGAAUAAAACUUAUAUUAUAUAGGACACAGUCAAGCUUUGAAUAUUUGAUAGGAACUAAAAAUAUAUUUAAUAAAAAAUUCUUUAAAACAACUUUUUUUUAGGAAUUCAAAACAAUUUAUUAUUAGGUCGAGUCGCUUAUCUGACGUAAAUUUGAUUGGGAUUUGUUCGAUUUAAAGUUUUUUUUUUUUUUUUUUGAGGAAAAAAGUUAAUUAAUUUUUUUAACAAAUCUACCUAAACCUACCUAAUCCAAUUUGCAUUUAGUUAAUUUAAAUGAUGUGAAUUAUCUUUCUUUCAAUAGUUAUUUUUUAAAAAAAUAUAGUUAAAUUAAAUGUUUUCUUUCUUUCUUUCAUUCUUGUAUUUUUUUUUUUAAAUAUAACAUUUUAUGUGGGUGGAGUUUUGAAACUCAUAUGAACAAGGGUAGAUUUUAAAGCCUAAAAAACGUUAACAUAAAUAUUUAUAGAUUAUCCACUAAUAAAAUUCGGUGUUAAUGCGAGUUGAACUCACGCCCCAUAAUAUGAGAAUUUCCUUUUGAAGAUUUUAUUUUAUUUUUGCGAAACUUUUUAUGGUUCUGUUUUCUUAUUCAAUUUUUUCCUUACACUAUUUUUUUUCUUCUUCUCCUCUUUUGACUAAUACACCACUUGAGUUUUGAGACAAUCAUUUUGGUGAAGCACAUCUUAUCUUAUCUACUACUAGCAUUUAGCAUAACAACAUUGUUUGUGUUGUAAAAUAUUUGUGAUAGUCUUUGUCACAGUGAGAUUGAAAAAGAAAGGACAGUCACAGUAUACUAGCUUGCAAGAAUCCCCAAAAAAGUGAAACAUUACAUACCAACAUAGUGGGAGAACUUUUCUAUCUUUUCCAAACGACCAGAUUCUGUUCUAUCAACGUGAGGAAUGAUCUUAUCAUCUGUCACCACCGUGGACUCUUGCUUCCGGUAACGCGAGGCAGCAGCCGCGGCAAUCAAACCGGCAAAGGAGGCAGCUAGAACAUGUGUGAGCCGGAUGGCUUUACCAAUACCAUCUGAAAAACAUUAUGAACCAAAUUGAAUUGAACAUAUGCUUAGUAUUUUAUUUUUGUGAAUGAAAGAAGAAUAAAGAGAGAAAAAUUAAAUACCUUGCUCCAUCUUGUUGGAAAUUCACAGUCACAACUCACAAACACGACUACUAAAUGACUAGAGCCAAAGAAGAAGCUGUUGCCUUGAUUGCUACUUCUAGCACACAAAUCAAGUGGUAUGAAAUCAUGAAACAACUCAGCAUUUCUUUAUUAAAUACUCAUCCAUAUUUCAUCUACUUGAUAUAUUAAAUAAAGGGUUAAUUAAGUUUUUAGUCUCUAUAAAUAUUCACAGUUUUGUUUUUAGUCCUUACAAAAUAAAAUCACACUUUUUAGUCUCCGUGACAUUUUCCUUAAUAAUUUUAAGGACCAAAAAUGCUGAUGGAAAAUUUUUAUAGGGACUAAAAAUGCUGAUGGAACAUUUUUAUAAGGACUAAAUAUGUUGAUGAAAAUUUUUAUAAGGACUAAAAUGUGUGAUUUUAUUUUGUAGGGAGUAAAAACAAAACUGUGAAUAUUUAUAGAGACUAAAAACUUAAUAAACCUUUAAAUAAAUGGAGUGUUAAAGAGAGUACACCUUAUCGGCUAUUGAAAAACAUAAAGCUUAUUUACUUUUCGUGGUAUAAAUCACAUUUUGUUGUUUAUCAUUCCAAAUUUUAUGAUUGGUGUCAUAAUCCAUUUUUAUGUUUAGAUGCUGGUUAAUUGUUAUUAUUUCUAUUUGAGACUUAAUUAUUGACUAUCCUCUUUAACACACCUUGUGCUGGAGGAAUAUAUUGUCGGUUUUAAUAUAUCUUAUUUUGAUUUGUUAAAAAAAAGUGGAGUAAUUAAAAUCUUUGAGACAAUUUUUUUAAUGAAUUUUUUAAGACAAAUGUUAAUUUGUAUCCUAAAUGACACAUGUUAAGAAACUCGUUAUAGAAAUACAUAUAUAAAAAAUCGUACAUUAAACUUCUAAAAAGUAAAACUAUCAUUAUAAAAUUGCCCUUCUUAGAUUGUUUAACAUGACACAUUCUUUAAUCAAUACCCAUCAAAUAAAACUAGUACAUCGAUCCCCGUGAGCUUAGCUCAGUUGGUAGGGAUAUUGCAUAUUAUAUGCAGGAGUCGGGGUUGGAACCCCGGACACUCCACUUCUCCACAAUUAAAUUGUGUGAGCUCUAGCCAUUAGGCUACUCGACAAAAAAAAAAAAAAAACUAGUACAUCGACUGGAUUAAUUACGUGGACCGUGCCAACAGAAGAUUUGAUUGAACUCCAACUUAGAAUGACACAUUCACAUUUAAUAUUAUUUUAAAUAGGAUUAUCUUCUCCCGGAGAUAUUUAAGAUUUUUUUUAUUAAGUAUACCUUAUCCAACCUGUUUUCAACGUUUAAAAGUAUUUUCAUCGGCACGUUUGUGUCUGAAUCAUAGCGUACCUUAGGUGAUAGUUGAUAUCAUAUGACGGGGACACAGUGUUGGUAGGUAAAUGGUAAGGUUUUUGUUAACUAGUAUCCUUAAAGAAAUUUAUAAUUAUAAAAAUUGUCUUAAAAAUAUAAACUAUUAUUUUUUAUUAACUAAUUAUUACAUCAUUUUUUGAUAAAAUUUUAUCUCUUUUAACUGCUUAAUCAAUGCCCCAGAGAUACUUGGUUAACAUUGUCGAAAGAAUAAAUGCAUAUUAUUCAUCUGAAAACAAAUAGUAUUUUUUUAUUGAAGACAAAAUGGCCGUGGCAUGCACUUACAUAUCACAACUAAUAUGAAUCAUUUGUCAAUAUUUUGGUGGUGGUCGGAAUUUUAAAUCUCAAAUUUUGUAUCUAUUAUUAUCUUUACCAACUGAGCUAAGUUUACGAGUACAAUUAUUUAUCAAUGUAUAAUAACUAAUGUGAAUCAUGUAUUUUAUAGUUAUUUUUAAAAUGUAACUAUAAAAUUGGUUUACAUGUUUUAUUUUUAACAAAUGUGUCAGCAUAUUAAAUUGUUAUUAGAUAUCAAAGAGCAAAUGGCAAAAUAUUUCUACUUUAAAAUGAAAGUUGCAGAGAUUAUAACAUACCACACGUUACACGAUUAAUAUUUUGGGUUCUUUGUACACAACGUCAGCGAAAUACAAGUAGAUUUAAAUCAUCAAAUUUAAGCUAGGUAAGUGAAGAAAAAUCUUAGAUGUUUUUUGUGACUAACUACGAUUCAAAUUGAAAGGAAAAUUUUAUCGGACAAUUGUAAGAUCUGCAAUGUUGUAGAAACAAAGUAUUAUGCGGUGAACAACCAACACGAGAAUAAAUUAGUGUAGUGUGUUGGAACAAAAUGUGUUUAACAUUACCCUUUAAGGAUUUUGAUGAUAACAAGGUAUUAAAAAUUGUCAAUUGGAUAUGCUAAUAUUUGUUCAAGUGUGCAUGACCAUAGACAAAAAUUUGAAAUCAUUAUUAGGUUAUAGAAGAACAGAAGAGAGCAAAGGAAUCAACAAAAAUGAAGCUUAAGGCGUUUGAAGAGAAGUGCUCUUGAAGACAAAAGUGCUCCUGAAGUGAUGACAUUAUCAGAAGCAAGUUCAUCAGAAGCAUCUCAUCAGAAGCAAGAUCACCAGAAGCUAAAGUUCACCAGGAGAUGCAAGACUUAAAGCUUCAAAGGUUGUUCAAUGGAUUUAAUCUCGUCUAAGCAUUGCAGAAGACUGGAAGAGUGAAGCAACGACUAUUUUAAAAGGAUUUGAAGGCAUUGGAUGCUUGUUCUUUGAAGGGCGUUGACAAAGUACAAUUGUACGAAGUGUACAACCACUAUCUCCACUACUCAGUUUGUGUCUCUGCUACAAGACAAGAAUAACAGCUCUGCCUGCAACAAUGUUCCUACAUACUGGAAUUGGAUUUGAAAUUGAUCCUUCAUAGGAAAAUAAUCAUAUCAGGCAAAAGAUCAUUGGUGAUUGAUCAAAGCUUCAAACGACUCUAUUUUGAUGUGCUGACAAUUCACAACGUCUCUUUCACACCUCUAUAUAAAGGAGUGAAGACUUAGAGAAUGGAAAGACUCAGCAACAAUUUGAAAGCGCCUAAACUCUGUCGAAAUUGUUCUGCAUCAAAAGUUCACUUAUAAUUUCUUAUCAAAGUUCAUAUCUUAGAAAUUCUAGAGUCAUAAGAGCCUGUAUCUGAUUUGUAUUGUGAACACCACUGAUUGUAUAUCAAGUGUUCAACCUCAAACAUUUUUCUUUGUAAUUCUGUUUGAAUUUAGAAGUCUCUUGCAGCUGGACUUGAGCAUUAGAAGUCUCUUGAUUGUGUUCAGAAGCAUAGGAAGUCUCUUGCAGUUGUGCUUGAGCAUUUGAAGUCUCUUGCUAGUUUUAGCAGUGAGCAGUUGUAAUCAGAUAUUACAUUUUAGUGAACUCUCCUUGGAAGUACAAGAGGGACAGGACUGACUUCCGGUUUGUGGAAGGAACUUGUAUAAUUGCUUUGUGUCUUUCUUCUCUCUCUCUCUCUCUCUCUCUCUCUCUCUCUGUUUUAUCUGCUGCUACUUAGUUCUGGAAAUCACUUCAAAAGCAUAACUAUAUUUGCUUCUGAUCGGUGUUUUCAGCUUAGGAGAAAGCGAAGAAAAAGCUAACACAAUUCAACUCCCCUUCUUGUGUUUUUCUCACUUCAUAGCGCGGAGAUGAAAAUGUAGCGUUGGAUAUGUGGUGAGACAAGAUGAUAGAAUUAGAAAUGAAAAAUGAGAGAGAGAGAGAGAGAGAGAGAGAGAGAGAGAGAGAGAGAGAGAGAGAGAGAGAGAGAUGGUGUAGCACUUAUAGUGAAAAAAAAUGGUUGGAAAAUAGAGUUAGGUAAUUUGGGCAUGUGAAGAAAAGAUCUAUAAAUUUUGUGCAGUAAUGAGAGUAGAUCAGAUGGAGGAUAUCCAUAUCUCUAGAAAUAGAAGAAGACCUGAAAAACAUAUGAAUAAUUAGUAAGAAAGACAUGAUGAUUAAUGAGUUAAAUCAAAAUAUGGUUUAAGAUAAAACAUUAUAACGUAAUUUGAUUCAUAUUAUUGAUCCUACGUAUUGUGAUAAGACUUGUUUUUAUGCAAAUCAAAUCAUGGUUUUCAAAGUAUCUUGAAGAAGAUUCGUCGAUCAACUCAUUUACAUCCAAUACAUAUAGAUUCGUGGAGGCGAAUCGAACCUAAAAUUUAGUGUGAUACCCACUUUGGAGUUUUCUUCAUGCACAACUAAAUGGAGACCCUCAAUUUUGAGGUCUUAAACGGGUUCCACAUUGACACAUCACUUUUUUUUAUAAUUUUUUAAGGCUUAAAUAUGUAAAUCGUCCCUGUAAUUUGGCGUGUUUUUGGUUUUUGUCCUUGUAUCUUUUUUUGUUCUAAAACAACCCUGUAAGUUAAUAACUUUUUGAUUUUCGUCCCUCCCGUCAACUUCCGUUACAAAAACGCAAAUGUGGCAAACGGAGGAUGACGUGGCAAACUUAUUGAUGAGUCACACAGUGAGAGGGACCAAAACCAAAAAACGAAAUUUGUAGAGGGACCAAAGCCAAAAAACAAAAUUCGUAAAGGGACCAAAACCAAAAAGCGAGAAAAAAUAGCUUUCUUCAUCUUCUUCCUUCCACCUCUUUUACAUCUUCAUCAUUGUCUUCAUAAAUUCAUCAAAAAACCCAGGAAAAAAUACUCAGAAAAGAGAUAAAAAAAACUCAAAAUCAUCAUCUCACUCUCAAUAGACAACUUCUCACAAACCCAAACAAAAUCCCCAUUGACAAUGGUCAGAUUGACAUCUCAACACUAAAAUCCACAAUGUUCAUAGUCCCAACUAAACUUUUAUUGAUAAUAUCGAAAUCAAAUUAUAACAACAAAAUCCUCAUUGUGAAUGCUCGAAUUCCCAAUAUUGAAAAAAUUCACAAAACUCUCAAAUUGAAAAACCUAAAGAAUGAUUUUUUUUCAUUACCAACUCUCGUCUCAUCAUUGAUCUCGCAUCUCUGCUGUUUCUUGGUCACUCCAAAUGCUUUCUUCGUCAAUUCUUUGAACUUUAAUAUCAUCAUUUUUGUUUCGAACAUUUGGGUCGUGUUCUUUAUUUCCGGUUGAUUUGGAAGAUUGUUGUGUUAAAUUGGAUUAUAAGAGAAAGGUUUAAGUUUGAUAUGAAUAUUCUUUUCAUUUGAAGUUCUAGAGGGAUAAUAAAUAUGUUGGAAUGUUGAAUUGAGAUAAGUUUUAUUUUAAAGUGUGUGAAAUUGGAUUGCACGUUGAACAGUGGGUAUAUUGGUUUAAUUUGAUUUUGUUGUUUGUGAGAAGAAAUAAAAGAGAAGUUAUAAUUGAAUGUGUUGGAUUGAGUUUGUUGUUGUUUUGAGUUGAUGGAUUUUUGGAUUUUGAAGUGAUGAAUUUCUGUGUUUGGUUGAUGAUGAUGAUGAAGUUUAUGAAGACAAUGAUAGUAAUGAAGAAGAAGAUGUGGGAAAAAGAUGAAGAAAUAUAAUUAAAUUUGAAUUUUUCGUCUUCUCGUUUUUUGGUUUUGGUCUUGGAAAUAGUCAAGUUCAUCUACAAAUUUCGUUUUUUGGUUUUGGUUUUGGUCCCUUUACGAAUUUUGUUUUUUUUGGCUUUGGUCCUUCUACAAAUUUCGUUUUUUGAUUUUGGUCCCUCUCACUGUGUGACUCAUCAAUAAGUUUUCCACGUCAGGCACUACCACGUCAUCGUCCGUUUGCCACAUGUGCAUUUUUGUAACGGAAGUUGACGGGAGGGACGAAAAUUAAAAAGUUAUUAACUUAUAGGGGUUGUUUUAAAACAAAAAAAGAUACAGGGACGAAAACCAAAAACACGCCAAAUUACAGGGACAAUUUACAUAUUUAAGCCAUUUUUUAAUAAUAGUACAUAAUAGGUACUCAAUCACUCCAAUAGAAACCCUGUAACAAAAGGUUUAAAUGAGACCCACCAAUAAUUUUUUAUCAUUUACAUUUCAACAAAAGUAACUCAACAAUGUUAUUUUAUUAAAAAGUGGUGUGGGGUCCACUUAAGAAUGGGGAUCAUAAGUGAGACCCCGGGUCUUAAGAGACCCCAAAAUUUUUUCCCACAAUGGGGGUACCUAUUUGGUAUCGGGUCUUAAAUGGUGAAGACCUCACCAUUGUGGAUGGUCUAACACCUCUAAUCGUCUUUGUUUUCGUUUUCUUUUAUUCUUGGUUUUUGGAGCAACCCACAACAAAUGUUCUGACAGGAGGCUGCAUAUGUAUUGAACUUUAAAAUUUGUAGUUUGCCUAUAUUGUAUCUGGGCCUCCCUGUUGGAGGUGAUUCUCGUAGACUGCAUUUUUGGAAUCCUGUGGUUAAUUGCACAAAAUCUCAUCUGUCCCGUUGGAAAAGCAAACAUCUUUCUUUUGGUGGUCGUCUUGUUCUUCUUAAGUCUGUCUUGAUCUCUCUCCCUGUCUAUGCUCUUUCCUUCUUCAAAGCUCCCUCAGGUAUCAUCUUCUCUAUUGAAUCUCUUUUAAUUUUUUUUUUUUGGGUGGGUGUGAGGAUAAUAGGAAAAUUUCCUAGACUGAUUGGGAGUCCAUAUGUUUUGCUAAGGAGGUUUGAGGUUAGGAGACUUAGGGAGUUUAAUUUGGCGUUGUUAGGGAAGUGGUGUUGGAGGAUGGUAGUGGAUAAAAAGGGGUUUUGGUUCAUAGUUCUGACUGCUAGAUAUGGUGGGGUUGGGGGGCGACUUCAGUCUUGUGGUAGUUAUGGGUCAGUGUGGUGGAAGGAUAUUGUCUGUAUCCGUGAUGGCAGUAGUUCGGUGUUGGGGAGUUGGUUUUCAGACAACUUACGUCUUAGAGUCGGUAAUGGUGUUAACACCUUGUUUUGGCUGGAUAGGUGGGUGAGUGAUGUCCCCGUUUGUGAGAAAUUUCGACGCUUAUAUAAUUUAUCUGAUAAUAAAUUAGCUACUAUGGCGCAAAUGUUUCAUUGGGGGUGGGAUGUGGGUGGGGAAGCAUGGAAGUGGCGAAGGAGGCUUUAGGUUUGGGAGGAGGAGUUGUUAGAGGAGUGUAUGCUUUUUUUAUUAACAGUUACGUUGCAGGUUGAUUCUGUUGAUGCUUGGAGGUGGACCCCUGACAUAGCCAACGGUUGCACGGCUAGUGGUGCUUACCGCUUGCUCACAGAUACGACGCAUAUCAAUAAUCAGAUUCCGGCUAAGCUGUUAUGGAGGAAGGAUGUGCCUUUGAAGGUUUCAUUGUUUGCUUGGCGUUUGUUUCGCAACCGAUUGCCUUCAAAAUUAAAUUUAUUCCGUAGAAGUAUCAUUCUUCCUGAGGCGCGGAACUGUGUUAGUGGUUACGGUUUUCAGGAAUCUGAAUGUCAUUUAUUUCUAUCUUGUGCUUUUUUCGGUCAUCUCUAGCAGCUGGUUAGAAAUUAGUUUUGUGUUCACUCAGCGGAUCCAUCCCAUAUUUUGGAUCAUUUCAUUCAGUUCGGUUCUUCUACAGGUUACGGUAAAUCUAAAUGCUCUUUUAUGCAUUUGAUUUGGUUUGCUACAACUGGGUAAUUUGGAAGGAAAUGAAUGCUAGAAUUUUCACAGGCACUCAGAGUUCCCAUAUACAACUUCUAGAGAAUGUCAAACAUCUUUCCUUCUGGUGGUUUAAGGCUAGUGUUGUAUCUUUUCAUUAUAGUUUUUACAACUGGUGCCAAAAUCCUUUGUUAUGUGCAGGAAUGUGGCUAAUUUUUUCAUUGUUGUUGUACUCUGACUGUAUUUUGUGAGCGCUUUCUGUGGUACACCUUGUACCUGGAAGUUGGCUCUCUGUUUCAAUAUGUCAUUUUGAUUUCUUAAAAAUAAAAUAAAAAUGUUCUGACAUUAAAUAUCACCUAGUUAUAAUGUUACAUCGACAACGACAAUACGUCUUUAUUAAAUUAUUUUUGUAAAAUAGCCAUUAAAAAAUGUGACAGGUAAUUAUAAUUUAAGAAAUUAAUCGAUUAAAACAUAGAUUAAGGAGUGAAUGGGAAAUGACUUUGUCGAUGUAAACUAGUUUUCUUUAAUAGGUUAAUUGUUCAUCUCUAAUAUAUGUGAAGUCUGAAAAAUAAUUUUGUAAUAAAAAAAUACGGAUUCUACGUAUGUAUGUAAUUUGAGAUUCUUCCUAUUUUUUACAUAAUUUUUUUUUUUUGGGUUAAAUAAGUUUUUCGUCCUUAUAAAAUAUCAAAUUUUGAUUUUAGUCCCUAAAAAAUAAAAUGAGAUGUUUUCAUCCUAAAAAAAAAAUUCUUUUAUUUUUGGUCCUUAAUGGAUAUAAUUUUGACAUGUUUGUGACAUUUUUUGAACAUAAUAUGAAUAUAUAAAGGUUGAACAUAAUAAACAUACAUAAUAUGGAUACAAUUUGAACAUAAAAAAGUUAUAAUUUUUACAUUCACAUGAACAUAAAGUGGUCAUUAAGGACCAAAAACAAUUUUUUUUUUUUUAGGAUGAAAACAUUCAGUUUAAUUUUUUAGGGACUAAAAUCAAAAUUAGCUAUAUUUAUAGGAACGAAAAACUUAUUUGACCCUAUUUUAUUUUAGAGAUGCAGUUCAGAAAAGUGAUCUGAACGUUAAAUUUUUUCAUGAUUUUUUGUAUGUAUAUUUAGGACGUUAAAAUAUGACUUUCCCUGCAAAAAUAGAAUUUUUCAACAAGGAACGAAUUAAUUAUGAAUUUUUAAAACUCCAAAAACUAAAAUAAAAUAAAAUAAUGGAAAUCACAAUCUAGAAAUUGAAUUUUGAGUUGUUUUUACACAGAUACCUCUAUAAAAUACAUAGAGAGGACCUGAAAAGUUUCAUAAUAUUUCAAUCCUGAAAUGUGUCAUAUCAUUUUGAUUACACCUCAAUUAUAUUGAAUUUUCAACCAAAUCGUACAAAAUUGUAAUUUUGUUCCAAGUAAACAUAUACUCGUAGGUCAAAUUGACGUCCUAAUUAACAUGCCUCCAAAGUUUAUUUAAGUAAAAUAAUAUUAUGCGUUCUCAUCAGAUAUCUAUUUAAAGUUAUUUUACAUCGACAAUGGAUCUUCAUUCAAUUAUAAAUUUAAUUACACUUAUUGAAAAUGAUAAAAAAAUCAUUAUAAAUGUAUUAAAGUCUUUUUGAAGGAAAAAAUAUAUAUUAAUGUUAAAUAUUGUAGAUUAAUGUAUUUUUAUAAUUGUCGAUGAAUGUUAGUUUGGUUGGUACACAUAUCCUCCAGGAAUAUAGGGUCAAUUCUCGUUGUCUAGAACUUCAUAAAUAGAUUAUUUGUAAGUAGAUUAAUUAACGUUAACUGAGUCUUAAUAUAUGAGUCCCUAAAUCCUAACUGAAGGUAAAUCGACAUUAACAGAAUAAGCAGCGGAAUAACAUUUCGAUUUACUUUCCUUGGAUCAUUACGAAUUGAAACUUGAACCAGUGAUUCGAUUGUUACCUUAGAACGAUUAGUCUGAAAACGAUCGAUGGAAUCUGCGAACUGGAAUCUCGAUCACAGCCAAGCAAACAACAGAGCCUCUAUUGAGUCCACACGAACAGUGCUCCUCCAAAACCUCGGUGCUAACCAAGAAGACGGAAGUCAGAGAACUAGGGUUUCUGCAAGGAAAACGUAACCGCAAACUAUUGCACUAGGGUUCUAUUUAUAGAACUCCUUAUGUGCUUUGCAAGUCAAACUCGUUUUUGACUUCACUAAGCCCAAUACGAGUUUAGCAAAUUUUGCUAAAUCAUUAGCAUUAUUUACUAAGCGCACCCUUUAUAUAAGUCUUACUUAUACAUAUCUCUUUUGACUGCUCUUUGUGUGUGACCCUUUAGGUUCUAGUCACGUUGGCAAUGAUAUUAAAUCUAAUAUUUAAUACUAUAAACAAUGAGCGGUAUCUAGCAACACAUCAUUGCUACCCAAGUGACAAGAAUGUCAAGUAAUCUGACGAAACCUUUCAUGAUAUACAUUAUUACUCUAUCAACAUUAAUCAGAUGUUAGCCUUUUUCUUUUGUAGCGGUUUCACUCACCUAUCAGUAUUCAGUGGAGCACAUUGAUCUAAUCUGUAGAUAGCAUUUUUCUCCAUCCAAUUUUCAAUGAGAACAACAAUUGUUAGGAGUUAAGCAUAUGUAAAGAGCUCAUCCCAAAAGAAUAGCCUCACAUUGAGCACUUUUACCUAUUCGAUGUGGGACUCCUAACUUUUAAUUGCUAUGAUUUAAACACAUGAGAAGAGUCCAACCAAAAAAACUAGUCAAUAAGGCAGAAGAGUCUCAUGACUUGGAGUAUCAUGUGAGACUCCUAACAUUAUCACGUCCUUGAAGAGUCGAUUAAAGAUUUUCAGUUAUCUGCACUAACCUGGUGAUAGCCGUUUUUUUAUGGUGACUUCCCUCACCUAUAUGUAUUCAAUGGAGCAUCUUAAUCAACAUAUCGGUAGCCAUUUUCCUUACACAACUCUCAAUGAUAGCACAAAUUGUUAGGACUUGAGCAUAUUUAUUAAAUUAAAAAGACUAAUCCAUCAAGUGGAAGAACUCCAUGGCUUAAGUACCACACUGAACAUUUUAUCUAUUCAAUAUGGGACUCCUAACAUGACCUCAUUGCAUUCGCAAAUAUCAAUUGGAUCAAAAUAUGAAGAUGGUAGAACAUUAGAUGAUAAACGAGCCAAUUUUAAACUAGUUCGAGACUAAAUUCAUGUUGGACUUGAUUUCACGAAUUAAAUAAAUUCGGGCAGAAAAUUAAUCUUGUUAGAAAAAUGAGUUGAAUUAUAUCUAUACAAUUUGAUUCUUUUGAUGUGUAUAUGUGUUUAUAUAUUUUGACAAAAAAAAAAGUGUGUAUAUAUAAUGGUUAAAGUGAAUUGUUCCAUGGUAUAUAUAUAAUGGUGGGAAGGUUUUAUACUCUCCCAUGUGAAAUGCCACCUACAUUUAUAUGUUACUUUUUCCUUACGACUUUCCUACACUACUUUUUCUUCCUUUUGACUAAUACACCAGUUGAUUUUUGAGACUAUCAUUUUGAAGAAGCACAUCUUAUCUACUAGCAUUUAGCAUAACAACGUUGUUUGUGUUGUAAACAUUUGUGAUAGUCUUUGUCACAGUGAGAUUGAAAAAGAAAGGACAGUAUACUAGAUUGCAAGAAUCCAAAAAAAGAAAGUGAAAUGAAACAUACCAACAUAAUGGGUGAACUUUUCUCUCUUUUCCAAACGACCAGAUUCUGUUCUAUCAACAUGAGGAAUGAUCUUCUCAUCUGUCACCACUGUGGACUCUUGCUUCCGGUAACGCGAGGCAGCAGCCGCGGCAAUCAAACCGUCAAAGGAGGCAGCUAGAACAUGUGUGAGGCGGAUUGCUUAGUAUUAGUGUGUUGUGAAUGAAAGAAGAAGAAUGAAGAGAAACAAAUAAAAUACCUUGCUCCAUCUUGUUGGAGAUUCACUCACGAAUCACGAUCACGAUCACGAUCACAAACACGAACGCAAAUUGACUGGAGCUAGAGAAGAAGCUGUAUUUGACUGCCUUAAUUUAAUACUCUUCCAUUUCAUCUACUAGUGAUACAUUAAAUAAAAAUUUGGUUUAGACUUUACAAUGGGACAAUGAAGAAUUCUGACAAAAAACAUACAUUCACAUUUAUUUAGUAUUAUUUUAAUGGUAAUGUUAACUUGUGUUUUGGGUUACAAGUGGACUAAAAAAGGAAAAGAAAAAAAAAAUUGUAAUAAAAAUAUUAAUAUUUAAAUAGUUACAACAUUAAAUUCACAAUAUAAUUUUCAAUAGUAUAUUUUAUCUUUUAACAUCUUAACUUAUAUUUUAAGGCACAGAUUAACAUUUUUCUUAUCUUUUCAAUAUAUAUUUAUUUUAAAUGGAGAAGAGUUACAUGUGUUUUAUUUGAUACAAAAGUAUCAUUGAAGUUUAAGGGAAAAUUUUAUCGAAUAGCUGCAAGACCAGAGUACUAGGUGAUGAAAAAUCAACACGAGAAUAAAAUGAGCGUAGUAGAGAUGAAGAUGUAUUGUGGAUGUCUUGUAAGACUAGAUUGUAAGACUAGAUGAGAUAGAAUUAGAAAUGAAAAUAGAAAAUUGCUUUUCUAACAUAAGGAAACUUCACAAAGACACAAGUAAAAUACUAAAAUGCUCCCAACGGCAGUUAACUGCCGUUGCUUUCUGUUAUUUGAACAGAACAGCAUAGGAGUUUCCAAAACUCCAUUGUUACGUUUUUUGCUUCCAUAGGUGCGAAUUUCACAAUGCAUAAGCCAUUCCAAGCCAAUUUCAAGCACAAAAUCAAGUAAGUUUUUUGAAUCCUAUUGCAUUGCUAUUUUUUGAUUGAUUUGUUAGUUUUUUUUUUUGUUAAAUUGCGAUUGUUUAUUGAUUAUAGAGGUUGAAUUGUUAGGUUUAUGUUAGAAUUGUUUAGAUUGUUAGAAUUGUAAAAUUGUUAUUAAAUUAUGGUAGAAUUUUUAGGAUUAGAUGAAUUGUUGUAUAAUCGUUGCGAUUAGUUUAGGAUUGAUAUGAAAUUUUGUUGUUAUGAAUUUGUGAUAGAAUUGUUACGAUUAGUUACGGUAUAAUUUUUAGGAUUAAAUAAGGUUUUGAUGAAUUAUUGUAGAAUUGUUACGACAUGAUGUAGAUUUUGAUCGUCAUUUAUUUGUUCAAUAGGAAGUAUUCAUUGUCAAAAAAGCAAUUUUCAUAAAAAUAUUAGAGAGAAAGUUGGUGUAGCAAUUAAGUAUAAAAGAUGGUGGAAAAUAAUCUUAGAUAUUUUGAGCAUGUAGAGAAAAUACAUAUAAAUUAUGUAGUAAGAAGUGGAUUAGACAAAUAAUAGUCAUAUCCUAAAGGUAUAUAAAGACCUAAAAAAAACUUUAUGGAAAAUAAUUAUAAAAGAAUUAAAGAUUAAUGAGUUGGACCAAAAAUAUGAUACAUGAUAAAAAAAUAAUGACGUAAUUUGAUUCAUGUAACUGAUAUCAUUUGACGAGGUAAGACUUGAUUUUAUUUGGAGAGAGAUAAAUAAUGUUACAUAGUCAAUACAUCUUUAUUAAAUUCUUUUUCUAAAAUAGCCAUUAGAAAAUUUGAAAGGUAAUUAUUUUUUUGAAGCAGAGCUAAAAAUCUCAAAAGUGAAAUCUUUAGGUUAAAAUAACAUUUUAUUAUUCAUACAGCAAAAUAAGCAAAUUUAACAAAUAGCCUUAUUCUAGUUGCAUUCAUGAUCUUACUGUGAUCAACAAUAAUGCAGGACUCAUGGCUACAUCCCAUAAGGGGUACAUAAACUGAAACUCAGAAGAAAAUGCAACAAUUGAACAUAACACAUAGCAACACUCCAAUGCUAAUGCUCACCAUUAAUAAGUCUUAUCCUCAUCAUGGCAACACUUGUAGGUAAUAAACACUUCCAUUCUGCGACGACAAUCUGGACACUCAACAAAAUCUGGGAUUUUUCCAGCAACUUUAUGAAUCUCAAGGUGAGAGCAAAGAUGAAAGGAAGGAGCAACCUUCUUAUGAUGUUCAUUAAAUGCAUGUUCAAAGCCCUUUUUAAUUGCCACUUCUUUCCAUUUGUCAAACUCGGACACUGUUUUCGACACUGUAGUACCAUGGCCAACAGCAAUCACAAUAGAACCUUUGGUUACAAUUGCCCACCCUGUCUCAUUCUUGUACGAAAGCAAUUUCUCAACCUGUUGUUUUACACUGUCUGUUGUAUCAUUAUUAUUCAUCUUGGUGAGAAACAAACUCUCCACCUUUGUCCAAAAUUUGUUAACCACAUUUGGCUUUUGAGACUCCAAGCUUAACAACUCAAUUGAAGUCUUUGCCUGCUUAAUAUUUGUAUCAUUUGCUAGGGCAGUAGCAAACUUGGUGAAUUCUUGGAUCCAUGCCUUAUCUUUACCUCCAUAAAUGAUAACAAACUUCUCCUCCUCCUUCAUUUUUCAAAGGAACAAAAGUUUUCUUAGUCAUGUUCAUUUUUCUCAAUUUAAAUAGCCUAAAUAAUUGACCCACAAAGUAAGUUUAAUAAUUAGAAUAAAGAUUCAAUUUAGUUUUUCACAAGAGAAGAUCCAUUUUUAUUUUUUGGGUGAACAAAUAUUGUUGUUACUCUUAAUAAUUAAAUGUCUCUAUAAAUAGUGAUUGAAAUCUUAAGAAAAUAUCAUAAUGACAAUUUGGAUCAUAUUACAAUAAUAUUAAAAGUUUUAAAAAAAAGAUUUGUGACCAGCAAAAUACUUACCCAUUUAAUCUGUAUAUCAAUGUCAACCAACAAGGAAACAACCCACUUUAAUUCCUGGGUUAUUGAUUUUUCUUUGUCUUCGGUGUAAGGAAAACCCUUUACCCCCCAAACUUGAAUCAUAUGGAAUGCAUUAUGAUGCAGAAUCUUUCCUUGUGGGCUCAACACAACAACCAAAGGCUUCUGAUUGAAAUGCAACUCCUCCUUUAUGUACUUGAUGCCUUUAAUUGGUGCAAAGUGAUGCAAAACAUACCAAGGCAUCUUUGACUUCAAAGAAUCAAAUUUUUUCCUCAACUUAUCAGUCCAUUCAUCCACAACGGGAAUCCACACAAUCUUGUACUGGCUUCCUGUUUCCUUUAAAUGGUCAUAAAUUGGAAUCAAAAUGGAGAUGUCUUCUUGGCUAAUGUUUAGGGUUGAAAUGAACAAGAACACUUCUUUCUUUUUCAACACUUCAAUAUCAACCUGUUAAUUUUAUUAAAAAAAAUAUAUAUAAAUUACAAAGUGAAACAAAUAUUUACUUUAAAAAACAUCCUCCAAAACUAAAUUAAAAUACGGAGACACAAGGUGCUCAGCUUCUCACUAAAAGAAAAUAUUUAUUUCUUUUGAAAGAAAAAGAAAAAUUUUUAUUCAUAAAAAAAAAUCUGUAUAUUGUCAUAAUAUAUUAAGCAAUUAAGACAUGAAAAUAUAUUUUAAAAAAAAUGAAAUAUUGACAAACUAGCUCAAUAUAUAACUGAUUAAAAAAUAUUUCUCCUUCCCCAAUUAUUAUUUUAAUUAAGAUAUGAAAAUACUAACCAGUGUUUUGGUGGAACCAUCAUAGAUGGAUUCUUUUGGAGCGUCUUUCCGAAAAAUCAGCACUUUAAACACUUCCAUGACUUCAGUCGGGGUUUGAAAGAGCUUUUUGAGUAACUUGAUAUACUCUGCUUCAUCUGGUAAUUCAAAUAAUUUCCUUAUACUAUCAAAUUUAUAUAUAUGUGUAUAAUUUCUUUCUAUAUAAGAAGAAAAUAUUUCCCCUAAAAAAAAAAAAAGUAGUAGCAAAGACAUUUGAUAUACAAAAGCGUAAGUUGGAGAUGAAAUUUUCCGCUUAUUAAUACUUAAUAUGUGUGAGUUUCGUCAUUAAACUCUAGAACUAGAAUAAAAAAAGAAAAAGAUAUAAAUAUUUAAUUGAUACACCCUCCGGUCAUAAUUAUAAAAAAAAAAAAAAAAAAUCAACAAUUUAGAUUCAUUCAUUAAAUGAUUUAUGUGGCCUAUAAUAAAGUUCAUAUGCAUCAUUAAUUAAAUAAAUCUAAAAUGUAGAUCUUUGUUUAUAACAGUGAGUGAAAGGUGUAUAUGGUAAACAAAAUCAUAUGAUUAAUUUAUUUUUUUAUUUUUUUUUUAAAUCUUCUUCUAUAUAGGACUCGAGAGAGUAUGUGGUAAAAUAAUUACCAAUAUAUAUAGUGCAUUGUGCCACAUGGUUCGUCAAUUUGUUGAUUAUGAUGCUAAUCUUAUGACCAAAUUGAGACAACUUCUGCCUUGAAUUCCUGACAAUAAAAAAUAUGAGUAAGUUCUUUAUAUUUUCUCCUCUAUAUACCAACAUAAAACAAAACAAUUAAGAUUAAAAAGAACAAAAACACAUACAAUCUAGGCUUAAAAACUUACGAAUCAGUAGUGAGACAUUCAAUCUGAGUAACAAUUGUAACAAUGGUGAUGAUAACCCAAAACACAUCAACCGGGAAUUCUUCCAAUGCUAGUGCAAGAGCUGGCACUUUCUUGAUGUCAUGAAGUGAGUUGAGUCUUUCCAACUCAAUGAUGAUUUCAAUCACUUUCCAUGUUGCCUUGAUCAAAUUGUUGAGCUCCAAAAUUUCAUUGCGAUGUUUUUUCAGUGCUUCAGUUUUGGUGAGUUGAGGCACUCUUUUCAUUAUGGCUAAUGAUUUGGCAAGUGGUUCUGUUGGUAGAUGUUGUGAUAGAUUCCAGAACUCACCAUAUUCAAUAGCAAAAGCAGAAAGAGUUAGCACUCCUUUUUCAACCCAUAAAUUGUUUGAGAGCUUUUUCAGGAUUGUUAGUGUUGUUUCGUAAGCAAUUUUCUCACCCGGAGCCUUGCAUGACAUCUGCGACCGACAUACAAUCUAUAUGAGUUUACUUCUAAUCUAGGGUUUUCACGAUGCGAUAUGAAUUGGUUCUUAGCAUCAGAAACUCGGGUUGAUAUAUAUAUAUAUAUAUAUAUAUAUAUAUAUAUAUAUAUAUAUAUAUAUAUAUAUAAAAGUACGUAGUUUAGCAUCAGAAAAUAAAAUAUUAAAAUAAAGACCUCAGAAUUAAUUUUCUUCAAAAUACACAACGGUGGAGUGAAGCUAGCAGGGGGAUGUGUGUUAUCCAAUGGCUCCAGACCUCCUUGAUUUCCCUGUAAUAGUUAAACAGGUUACCAUUAUUUAAUUAGAAGCGCAGUGCUAUGUAAAAAGAACCGAUAUAUAUACUAGUAAUUUUUCUUCUAAUAUAUAUAUAGACACACACUAGUAAUUUAGAAGUUGUUAAAAUCACAAAAAUAAAAAAUGCAUAAAUAAAAUAAAAAUUAAUGAAUGAUUAAUUAGGUGCAUACUUGCACAACGUUUUCAACAAUAUAGGUUGAACGCCUAAGAAUGUUUGCAGCAAUGUUGAAAAGAGAUUCAACAUCAAACUUGGUGUCACUAUGGACAUGGGUUGAAUAAAUCUCCCCCAUAAUUUGUAUAUCAGACAUGAUCAAAGGGUUAUUGUGAAUAAUAUUGCCACUGGUAAUGUGGAGAAAUGAUUUCAUUAGGUCGGCCAUACUAUUGAUUCAGGAAGAAAAAAAAAAGUGGAUUAUAGUUUAGAAGCUAAGAUUUUUUGUGAUUUGAGUGGUAGCUUCAGUGCCCUAUUUAUAGCCUUGAGAGCUGGAAUAUCUCCAAGCAAUUGGUUUUUAUUUUCAAAUUUUCUAUUAGGAUAAGCCUUGUGUACAAUUUCUUCACUUCUCCGAGUGGUCUUUUUUUUUAAAUUAAUUAAAGUGUUACUGUGCAGUGAGACUAAUAACUUAUAUGUACUGAGAUAAUUGAUAUGGUUAACGUCUCUCUUUUUCCAAAUCUUGGAGUUAAAAUUUGUGUCAGUUUGCUUCAAAUACGCUGUGCAUGGUCUGUAGAACUUUGAUAUUCUACAAAUACUUCUCAAUAUUUUUUUUGAAGAACUUCUCAAUUUUUUUUAGUUGGUUGCAACUUUUAUUUGAAUCGAUUAAAACAAAUGUAUUUUCUUUAAUCGGUUUUAUAUUGGUUAAUACAGUAAAAUUUUGUGUCGAUCGGUUUGCUUCAAAUACUUGACAUCGAAAUUAUCCAAAUAAAAACUAGUAUUAACCAAUUCCAAAGAUAUUGAAAAUUGUAUAAAAUCGUUUUUUUUGGGUAGUAAAAUAAUUUUUUUUUUGACAAAAAUAAAAUGAUAUUCAUUCAUUUAAAUCGAGAGAUUACAUCAUUCAACACCAAUAAAAACGUAAAUGAUGAAUCUGCUAACAAACUCACAGCAUCCAAGUUAACAGCAUAUAACAACAUAAUGCCUACAAAAAUAUAUGAUAAAAUUAAAGUGACCGGAAUAUCCAUCGCCUCCGAAUCUGCAACGUUGACGCCCAAAUCUUUGAUUGAAUUACUUAUCUUUCAAUAUGAAUCAAAUGAACACCGCACGACGACGGAAAAUCAAACAACACCGCACAAGACGACGAACAACAAACCACCACACUUAGAUGAUGAAAUCACAAAGAAAAAAACAUAGAUUUAUGUGAAAAUCACUUAUUUAUAUUGAAAUAGAAAGAAAAAAAAUGAAGAGGGGUGAUUUCAGGUCAAGAAUUGACCCAAAACCACCCCUCAAUGAAAAAACUAUAAGAAAAAAUCUAGAGAAAGAAAACUAGGGCCGACUUGUUGAAGAGUAAAAUAAUUUUUUUAAUAAGUCAAUAUGAAUCAUAUUACAUAAACGGAAAAGCCUUCCAACACAAGACCUGUAAAAGAAGACUUGAUGAAAGUUAUAAGGUUUACUCUUAAUGAUAUGAAAAUAGAUUUUUAUUGAACAUGUAUAUAAACUUUCUUUUAUGAAAUCACAAUGAUUUGGUUGAAUUUUGGAUUGUUUAUUAAAGCCAACCUGAACUCAACCACAUAUAUAAUUUUUAAUAUUUGUUUUAUUAUUACUAAUUAAGUGGUAAUAAAAUGACAUACCGAAAUAAAGUACAAGUACUCAACCCACCGAAAUAAUUUCUUACCAACUACAAAAAAACUUCCACCAGAAUCACCUUAACAUACAAUCUAAUGAUAAUAUAAACUACACAUAAAGAAAGGAGGCUUUGAAUUCCUCUCCAAAAACACUUUUGAUAGGGCAUAACUUCCUUACACCAUAGCUAAUUGCUCAAUCUUUUCCAUAUCAACCGAAAAGGAAGGGCAGAUACUAUCACAAAUAAUUUUCUCUUUCUCUACAUGACACAUGUCUCACAUUAGUAACAUACUUACUACUCCGUUCUUAUUUAAUUGUCAUAUUAUAAUAGUAAUAAGAUAUCAAAGAAGUAGAUUUUCGGUGUUUUUUUCCCUAUUAUACUUUCAUCAUUUUAAUUUACUAAUAAAUUUGAUUCCAUAUCUUUUUUUCCAUAACAAACGAUUGGUAUACCCUCUUUCCAAGAAUCUUUUUUUUUUCUUUUCACACUCUAUCACUCAAAUAACAAAUAAUUUUUUUUUAAAUAAUUGUAAAGCAAACUAAAACAAUUCAACUUCACAUUAGUCAAAGUAUAACUAUGUUCUUCAACUUUCCUACAACUCUUUUGAUAAAAAUUUAGGUUUCAACUAUAGCUUCAACCAAUACUGGAUUCAUAUUGUGUGACAUUGUUAUAGGUAACAAUGUUACAAUUGCAUUUUAUUUUUUUAACAAUGUUACAAUUUUAUUUAUAGAAUUUCUAUUCUUCAUGGAUCCAUUUCUAUAGGUAACAAAAGCUUGUUUAAAACAAACUUAAAUUUUCAAAAUACAUAGGACGGAUCCAUUAUUAUUGGUAACAAAAGCUUGUUUGAUUUUUAUUUUUUUUGAAUCAUUGAAAAAGAGUAUGAGUAAUUAAGAACGGGUAUAAUUGACGAAUUUUAUCUUAAAAGGUCAAAACGACAGUCAAAUAAAAAUGGAGGGAGUAAUUAUCAUAAAAAUGGACUUAAAACAGUGGCAUCAUGAUGUGAUUUGAGCAUAAAAAUUAUUAAGAAAAAUAGUAAUGUAAAAUGAAGGAAGCAUGUUUUUAAUUUGGUGAAUGAAAGUUUAGGUGAGUUGGACCUCAAAGACUCACUAGCAUCAUGACAGACGUCAAGGUUCAUUAAGUGUUAACAAUAGUACCUACAUAUCAUCCACUAAAAAGAUCCUUCCAAUAACAACGAAUGAUAAAUCGAUAAAUCCACGACUUUACGGACAAGUCAACUUCGUCAUCCUUUCAUUGACAAAAUAAAAGAAGUGUAUAAUGAUAAAACUUCAAAGAUAGAAUAUAUUUUUUCUCAAAAUUAAUUAAUAUUGACCAACUACUUAUUUCGAAUUCCCUUAAAUAUUACUUACAAUUUGGGAUCAUUGUAAAAAAAAAAAAAAAAACUUAUUGGGUUCACCAACCCUAACAUGUUCUUUACUUACAUAUGUUUUUUACGGGAAAAAAAUUAUGUAAGGAGUACGAAUAGGCAUAGCAACAAAAUCCGUAUCCGUGGGUACCCAUUCGAACUAAAUCCAUUUUGACGAAUUUUUUCCGUUUUGAUUGGGUUUGGGUAUGAGUUUGGGUUUUUCCCGAUUUCAAAACACGGGUAUGGGACGGGUAAUGGGGAUAUAGGAACCCAUACCCAAACUCGUUCCGAAUGUAGAAAAUCAAUUUAGUACCCAUUUUAUAUCAAUAGAAACUCAAACCCUAAAUCAUUUUAUUCAUAGAGUUAGAAUUUCAGUCAAAAUCUAAGAGUUCUCUCUCUUCUUCCAUAUCUCACAGUUUUGGUCUCUCUCUUCUCCAACACCAUAGCCAUCGAUCACCAUCAUCUUUUUAUUGAAUAAUGCAUUACAACAUCACACCUAGGGCUGAGAAGUACUUCUUCUUUUAUUAAAAAAAAUUUAUCCAUUGCGGGGAUACCCGAACCCAUCAGGACGAGGAUGAGAUUCAAUUUCUCAUCCCCGUUGAGUUUGGUUAGGGUAACAGGUAAGCAUAUUAGAAUAGAGCAUGGGAGGAAGGUGAAACCCGUCCCCACCCCGCCUCAUUGUCAUGCCUAAGUACGUAUAAUCGCAUCAAUUCUUUCAAGAAAAAAAUAAUCGCAUCACAUGCAUGCUAUCACCUCCAAUUAAAAAUAUCAUUGAUGGUCACACACCCCAACAAAUAAAAAAAACCAAUUCAGAUUACAUCGUACAAUGGAAAAAUCAAUUAACACCCAUUUCAAGUCAUACCCCAAAUUCCUUAAAAAAAGCGACACCCCAGAGAUGAAAAAUGGAUCAACACACGGUUUCAAUUUUAUCCUAAAAACCUCGAAAAAAACAAUUAGCCUAAAAACCUUGAAAAAAAACAAAAACCUACAAAAAAAAAAAAAAAAAGAAUAAAGAUGAAGCCCUUGAUGGUAAUCUUUUCUUCAUGGUUCUGCUAGCACUAUAUUAAUAUGUCACUCUAUAUUAGUUUCUUUUUGUAAUUUUCUUUUUUCAUAAAAGUAAAAUUACACAACUUAACAUGUAAUACUCUAUACAUUUUGUCAAAACAAAAAAAUGUAAUACUCAAUACAUAUUUUUUAAAUUUAAAUAACCGUUUAUAGUUUACAUCAUAUAAAUUAUCUUAUCCAUAUGCUUGUAUUAAAAAAUAUUUUUCUCUUUCUCUGUAUGACACAGGUCUCGCAUUAAUAACAUAAAACUAUCAUAAAAAAUAGGUUUAAAGAGUAGCAUUAUGAUGUGAUUUGAUUGUAUGUAUGUGUAAAAAAUGUUUUCAUUAUAAGUGUUAACUGCAUGAAAAUUAUUAAAAAAAAGUAAUAUAAAAUGAAAGAAGUAUAUUUUUUUUGUGAAUGAAAGUUUAUGUAGGUUGGGAUGUUGAAGCUCGCCAUGAUCAUGAUAAUCGUCAAGUUUCAACAAGCAUCAACUGAGAUAUUUACAUAUCAUAAUAUACAGAAAAUGAACCCAUGAUUUUACGAAUUAGUCGACUUCGCCAAACUUUUAUUCACAAAUCAAAAGAAGUAUGUAAUGAUACAACUUCAAAGAUAGAAUGUACUUCACGUCAAAAUUAAUUAACGUUUACCGAUUACACUUAUUUGGGAUCAUUGUCAAAAAAAUGAAAUAAAAACUUAUUGGGUUGACCAAACCUAACAUGUUUUUUACUUACAUUAAUAUCAUCGCAUCAAAGAUCCGAUAUCAUCGAAUCACAUGCAUCACAUGCAUAUACUAUCAUCGCAUUACUUGUUAGCAUUCUCAUAAUAUUAUUCCUGUUUACGUUAAUAUUUUAUGAUAAGGUUGUACAAUAUCCACCAGCAAAGAUCCGGUUUAUCGGAGAGACCAUAUAAUAUUUAGACCCGUUAGACUUGCUUAUAACAAUGACGUAUGGAAAAUGACGUAUAGGCAAUGAUGAUAUGCAUUAUAUGGAUUACUACUGUAUCUCGUCAUACAUAUAAGCAGAAGGGAAAAAAUAUCAUACAAAAAACCAAUAAUAUUAUUAAGUCCUAUAAUUUUGAUAUUUUAUCUAAACCAUCAUUAUAUUCCUAAAGACCUACAGAAAAGGCUUUUAUGCCCUCCCAGAGACCUCAACGUCCAGAUAGGAUGAUGUGCCCAAAGGCGCGUAUCUCCCCAUAAGCCACCUUUAUCCGCUUCUAGAAGCCUCUAGAAAGCGCUCGAAUACCUAAAAUAUCCCCAUUACUUUCUGCCUAAGUAACCACAAAUCAGGCCCAUAGUAAUACAACCUUGCGAGCUUUCUCAAGAGAUCCAAUAAUCAGUCUAAACCCUAGAAUACGAUACUGAACCCUAGUAUCCUCUAUUGUGCUUUUUGCAAGUACAGUUGGCGCCGUCUGUGGGAAAAGGUAAAACUAACCUAGAUCACCUUUCUGAAUCGCAAAUCGCAAUUUGGAAACCCUAAAACCAUAAAACUCUGAAUCGUAGCCGCUACAACUGCGACCCAGAAACCCUUUCACUUCCAACCCUAGAUCGCCUUGAUCUAUAAACCCGAUCACGCCAUCCUCAUGGAAACCGCUGAAGAACUCGAGACGUUACGAACCCAAGUCGCUCAACCCAUGGAGCAGAAUGAAGCCCUACAAGCUUCAAUGGAAACCAUUCAAUAGAAGCAGCAAGAAGAGAAAGACGAGUCCCACCAUGGCGAGAUGGAUGACCUAGAACCUCAACCCCUUUCGGAAGAGAUACGGGGAGCUCCCGUUCUAGAAAAUUUUAAGCUGACGCACCUCUCUUCCUUUGACGGGAAAAGUGAUCCCAUGGAGCAUGUCACAUAAUUCAACACUCAUAGGGCCGUCGUUGGAGCGCCUGAUUCAAUGGCCAAAUUUACUAACCAGAAGCUUGAGAAUAAAGACACAUCGCUUAGUCUUUCCUUGACAAAAAAUAUAUUUUGAUUCAAUGUCCAAAUUUCUUAACUAAUGUGAAUGACAUUUGAGAAUUGUUUUUUCAAUCGAUUAGUGUCCUCAUUUUGUAUCUUUCCUCAUUAUUCCUUGAAUUCUGCUCUUCAUCCAGCACAUUUUGCUCGCGCCCUACAUCUGUUCCAAAUUUACCCUUGCGUUAGUUAACUCACGCAAGUGUAAAUGUAUGCGCUAGUUAACUAACGUUGCGUCAAUUAACUUGCGCAAGUGUUAAAAACUGCGUUAGUUAACUCACGCAGACAUUAACACAUGCGUGAGUUAACUCACGCACAAUCUGUGCAUACAACCAGAAGAGGCAGAAACCUCUAUUUUCCCUAUUUUUCAAUCCUUCUUUCAUACAAUCAUUCAAGCAAACAUUUUUCAUCAUUCAUUCAAGCAUUCAUUCAAUCAAACAUUAAGUCAUAAGUAUAUUACGAAAAAUAACGGAAUAAAACAACGGAAUAAAAUAACGAAUAAUGUCAUAAAAACGCUAAAAAUCGUAAGUGUUAUAGGAUUACAACCAAAUCCAACAAAAUGUCAAACAAAAAAAACUACACAAGUCAUAUUGGUCCAUCCCGUGGACUCUUACUCCUCCUCCGCGGAGCCGGCACCUGCUCCAGCAUGCUCCGCUCAGACUGUAUGCCCUACAUCAAGCUCAUAACCUCCUUUGGAUUAUGAAACACAGUAGGAUGUCUCAUUGCACCGUCCACUCUAGCUCUGAUGUUGCUGAUGAUCUGGUAUGGGUCUAGAGGAUGUUUGGCCCACUGCUGCUCAACAAUAACCUCCUCACAAGGAGGGGCAGCAGCUGCAUAGUCAGCAAUGGCUGAGGACAUGUAGAGCAAACUUUGUGAAGGUCUGGGCCACGUCAUUCGCCGCAAUAAGCUCAAUGUCUGUAGGAGCCCUGGGAAUAGUCUGGUCAUACCCGUACUGCCUAAGAACCCGCUCUGGCAAGUGACGGACCAUCCUGUCGCUGUCGGCCAUGAUCCAUCCGGAGUACCAGCAUAUGUCCUGAAAUGGCGUGAUGUGUCGUCGUCUCUCGUACGGCCUCCAGGUGACAUGUGAAUGGUCCAACGAAUCGAUGGCAGCUCUGUAGUGUCCAAGAUUAGAAAAGCCCCUUGGAGGUUUCCAUUGACUCACAAGCGGGGAAACAACAAGGUCGUAGGCAUCAUGAUCAAUCCUCAGAAUGAUGUUCGAGAAUUGCGCCAAAGUCCAUCCCUGCAAACACAAAGAAACAAAUAUUUAUAUCACCGUAAGAAUUAUACAAACGACUAAACAUUUGCGAUCCAAUAAGUAAAAAAGAAGGAAAAACAAAUAUUACCACAAACAAUAUCAUGUAACCACCACAGGAGGCCAUAUAUGAGUCGGAGGUAAGAGAUAGAUGCUCAUAUAGGAAAGCAAGUCUCAUCCCACCCCAUGACCAGCUGUCCAACUUGUCCAUAUCUUGCAGAUACCUUUCAUAGGCAAUGUCAAGUUUUUAAAGCUCAGCUUCUUCCCGUGCGAGAUACCUUUCACCCUAUGUUUUUUUCGAAACUGAAAUACAAAAACAAAAAAACAACAAACAACACUGUUAAAUAAAUAAUAAGGAAAUCAAACAUUAAAUAUAUGCUAACAUAAAUUUUAAUUCUAACAUUAAAUAAGUAAAAUAAUAAUUAAAUUAUACUUACAUCGGCAUCGACCCAGACCCUGCAUGCCACAUGUCCACCAAAGUGAGGUAAAAGCGUCAGCUCAUAAGGCCCCCUGCAUAUCCGUUUGGUCCGGCCUCAUACACCACCCUCUGCACCCCUUGAAAAUGAGCCCCACCAUCAUGCUGCUGAGGCUCCUCAAUAUCAGGUUGCUCCUGCUCAAUACUAGGCUGCUCAUGAUGAUCCUCAUAAUGAUGCUGCUGAUACGCUUCAAACUGAUACAACUGAGGCUGAGGCUCCUGAAAAUGAUAGGCCUGAUCUUGCGCCUGCUCAUACACCUGAUAAUUCUGCUGAUGUUGUGUCGGGUUCACCGUCUGGGAUGGACCCGUCUUUGACCUUGACCCCCUGCAGCAUCAACUCUAGCAAGUCUCGUUCCCCCACCUCUCCCUCGACCAACCAUAGGAGGGCGUAAUGCUUGUUUCUCCCUCCGUGCACUACCAGUAGGGGCAGGCCUCCCUGCCCUAAGUCUGUCACUUCUAUCAUGAGGCGGCUCAGGCGGUCUCUGAGACGUAUUCCUCUGAGGCAUAUAUGCACAACAUUUAACAUAACACAAAUUCAAUGAUACAUUUUCACACGCACAUUGUGUCAUUUCCAACAAUUCAACAACAACACUAAAAUUCCAACAAUGUCAUUUCAAUCCGUAAACUACCACAUUGCAGUCAAACAUAUUAUAAUCAAAAUUAACAAACCAUAUGCUAACUAAUUUGAUAAUUCACAAUCCAAAAAAACAAAAUAAUUACCAUAGAGACUUUUUACCAAACACAUAGUGUGCAAUUUUCAAACAACUAGGUAAUCUAACAAUUUGUAAACCCUAAACUAGCACAUUGUACUUUAAACAACUUCUAAACAACAAUUCCUAAGUUAAUUCAUCACUUCUGUAAUAUUGAUUUAUAAAUAUUAGAUUUAUAAAUUAUAACUUUGACAUAAUUAUAUAUUUUUUUAGAGUAUAAUACACUCCACCCCCCUCAAAGAUAUGAGUAUUACACUCCCCUCCCCUCUUGUUGUAAAACACACACUCCCCUCCCUUAAUAGUUAAAAUAUUCACAUUUCCACCCAUUUUUAAACGAUUUGUUAACCUUUUAGUCAUUUAUAUUACACAAUAUUUUCUUUUACCAAAAUAAUCCUUAGCUUCUCCAAACAUGUCGCUUCACCUCUUUCAUUGCAAUCAAGGAUUAUUACCACUGUCGCCUAUGUCUUGUGGGGUGUCUGACUAGGUUCAGUUUGUGCGCUUUAUCUUAAUUAUUGGAUCUAUUUCAAAACAUGGACGUCUGACUUGCGAUUGGUCAAAAUUGGUUGAGAGGGGUUGUGUGGGUAAUUUUGGCUUUGUCGUUGUUACUUCUAUUUUUUUAAAUUCUAGAAUUGCUAUUAGAAAAAUUAGGAAAAUAUCCAAAUAUUACAUAUUGUUUGAAGAAAUUCUUAGCGAUGAAGUUUUUGUUUUAAUUGUCUGCAAAUUAACUUGGUAAUUGCUUGUUUCAGAAAUCAAUUGUUGUUCAUGAAUAUUGAGUGCGUUUGUUUCAGCUUUAAAAAAAAUAGAUUUUGUGUUCAAAAAAUCUAGAGAUUUUUUUUUUGAGAUUUUUAAAAAAAUCUGAAGUUAUUUGUGUUUGCCUACUAUCCAUAAAAAUCCAUUUUUUUUUAAAAAAAAAAAAAAAGUUCUAACAUGCACAUAUGUUAUCUCCUUGUUGUUGAAAAAAGUAGAUUUUGAGAAAAACUAAUCCUAAUAGCUUUUCAUUUUAGGGUCAAAAUAGAUUUUUUUUUGACAAAAUGAUUUUUCUAAAAGUCCUAAACAAACACUUACAAAUAAAAAAAGUGAUAUUUUUUUAGGGAAAAAAUAGAUUUUUUUUUGGAAAAAAUCUGAAACAAACGGGCCCAUUAUUGCAAUCAAAGGAAAUGCUCCAUAAAGAAUUGAUAGGGGUAUUUCGGUGAUAAAAAAUAAUAUUUAACGGAUGUUAAUUAAAAUUAACGGAAAAUGUACACAUGGAUCAAGUUGUAGUGCAUUUAAUUUAUUACGGGAUGGGAGUGUGUGUUUUGUAACAAAAGAGGAGGGGAGUGUAAUAUUGAUAUUUUGAGAGGAGAGGAGUAUAUUUUACUUUUUUUUUUUUUUGUUUGAACAUCAGGAGAAAAAGGUCUCACUUCAUAUAUUUUUUUUAUGUAUACUUCCUUUCAAAAAAUAUUACUAUAUUUGAGGGGCUAGCUCAUGUGAAGAGCUAGUUUUGUAAUCUCAAAUGCUAGGUUUGAAUUCUCUUAAAAAGGAUUGCAAACUAGUAUUUUUUUUAUUUUUUUUUAGGGAAUUGCAAACUAGUUAUUAAUGUCGUUUUAAUCAACUUCUUUUAAAAAAAUACUUUAAUUAAUAAAACGUUCACCCUUCCAUAAAUACUUGAUAAUGAUAAAAAUAAUAGUAAUUAUUAUUUUUAUUCGUGAAUAUCAAUUCUCAUAAAUUUAGCUUAUCGUGUUUGUGAUAAGAAUAAGAAUUUAAUUGAAUUUUUUAUAUUUACUUCAUUCAAAUCUAAUAAUUUGUUUCUUUUGAUCCUACUCACAACUGUUGUUGAACUGAUUAAUGGAUAAACUCCAUUUUAAUCUUAUCCAUUAGAGUAACUGCUGUUGCAAUUUUUGCUAAAACAGUUACAAAAUCUCUAUAUAAAUAGAGGACUCCACUCAGUUCAAAAAACACACCAAAGAGUUUCAUUGAAUUGUCGGGAACUCUUUCUCUCUUCUCCCUUUCUUGACUUGUGUUGACAAGUCUUUCUUUUCUUCAUCUCCUUUUUUCUGUUCCUUCGGAAUUAAAAGUGUUCUUAGGACCAUAGUUCCUUUUUUGGUUUAAUGUCCCUUCGGAACUAAGAACGGUCUUAAAAACAUAGUCCCUUCGAUAAUAUAUGUCCCUUCGGAAUAAAGAGUACUUUUAAGAUCAUAGUCCCUAUUUGAAAUAACAAUGUCCCGUCGAAAUUAAAAAUAAUCUUAAGGUUAUAUAAAAAUUAUUUCAAUAUAUUUCUAUUUGAGGAGAAAUGGUGGUAACACCAUAUUUGAGUGGUCUCAACACCAUAACAGAGUGGUAACAAUAUCAUAUUAAAGUGGUUUAAGUAUUAACGAGUGGUCUUAGUACCAUAUUUGAAGGUGUAAUUCUCGAACAGUUUUCUACAGUGCAGUAGUUAACCGCACAGUUGUAGAUGAAAUUGUUUUAUCCUGGAGGCGGCGUGGUUGAUAGUCUGUCUUGCACAAUUUUGGGCAGUGCCACGAAACGUCUUAAAGAGAACGACCUGGUCGUGAUUCAAGCUAGUAACAACUUUGAUAGAUAAUAGAAUUUGGAAAUCCAAAUACAACAGAUUGGAAAUCCAAAAACAACACUUUUCGUUCUCAUAUUUUACGAAUUUACAGUAGUCCAUUAAAAAGCAUUUCUUUCUUAUCUUUAGUAAAUCAUAGAAUUGAAAUAAACAAUUUUUUUGAUAACAUCACACCUCAUAACUCAUAAGAGAGUAACACUUUUUGAUUUUUUGAUAGACCUUUCUAUUUUAAGAAUGGAUUCCCUUAACUCUUUCUGAACACUUGACCUUGAAGGUGACAAAACAAAGUCAUUCCAAACAGAACCAGGUUCCAUUACUGGGCUAGGUUCCUUGUGAAGUUCAUAGAUGGAAUCAGCUUCAGUAUUCAAACUUGUUACAUUGUUCAAGCUUUUUAUGUCUUCAGGAUCCACUAAUAGAUUGUUAUCACCAUCCUUCCACCCAAUAAGCUGUUUUGUAUGAAAAAGAAAAUUACCCUCUUCACAUUUUACUACUAGUAAAGUGUAAAAUCAAUCACAAGAUAGAAAAAAAUGUUCAUGUACCUUUGGUGGGACCCCAACAUCAUUUGUGCAAUAGAGUCUGGCAUUAUCAACAAGUUUGCAAUAUCUUGGAAAUGCAUUAGCAAAUCUUUUGUGUGAUUUCAAUUGUGAAUUCACCCUCACUGCCCUCCUUGUCAUAAUAGCUCUCCUGUUAAAAUUCCAAUAGGAAAUGUUAACUAUAUCAUACACAAGAGAGGAAAUAGGUAUUUUAGUCUUUGAAAAUGUAAAGGUCGGUCAAUUUAGUCGCUCAAAUUUUUAAAAUAACAUUUUAGUCCUUGAAUUUAAAAAUAUCAACCGAUUUAGUCAUUUUCUAUAAUUUUGUAUCAGAAUUUUAAAGAUUCUAUGCUUGUUUUGAUGCAGGAAAAUACUACUUAAGUCAAUACUUACGUCUUCUAUUGUUCUUUACUAUAUAAAUAUUUUGAUGGAGGGAGUAGAUUGAUUGUUUUUCAAUUUAAGGGACUAAAAUGUUAUUUUGCAAAUAUGAGGGAUUAAAUGAUCAAGCCUUAUAAUUCCAAAUAGUAAAAUGCAUAUUUAAUCAAACCAAAAAACACACUACCAAAGUAUACUAUUAUAGUUGAAUCAUACCUAAUGCCUCUAAUAACUGCAUGAUAACCAUCACAAACGACACCAACUAGCUCAAUUCUAUAAGGCUUUUGAGUAUGAUGUUCUUCUGCCUCAUUCACUUGCUCCCAGUAAUUUUCAGUAAUUGUACCAUCCUCAUCUGGUCUAUACCCUACUCCCAUUCUGUAUUUAUAUUUGUGAACAUUUCUUGCCAUAGCAAUAGUCUGCUCGAAAAAAGGUUCCCAUGAUAAGGUACCGUCCAUGAUCACAUCUCGCCCUUUGUUUAGAGCCGUCACAAGUACAGAUGAUGCCGCAUCAGUGGAAGACUUAUGCACCUGUUCAGAUUUUGACAAGUUUAGAGCAUACUUUACAAUAGUAAUAUCACAUGAAGGUGUUCACACUGAAGCAU
This 52214-nucleotide long non-coding RNA is filed under the name Medicago truncatula (barrel medic). RNAcentral describes it as "long non-coding RNA (MTRU_LNC005288)". The record is from RNAcentral. Lineage: Eukaryota; Viridiplantae; Streptophyta; Magnoliopsida; Fabales; Fabaceae.